UUGACUGGAACGACGAAGAAGCUGUGCUAUUCCCAAACUGGGAAACUCGAAUCACAUGAUUUGAAAGUGAAAUAACUUUUUCUUGCCAACUCCUAUGAGAUAUUCAACUUCCUGGUGAUUCUCCAUCACUUUAUGUAUCCAAAUAAAGCUUCUGACAAAGUGAUUAAUUCUGGUUUGAUUGGAACGACGAAAAAGCUGUGCUAUUCCCAAACUGAAAAACUGGAAUCACCUGAUUUGAAAGUAGAAUAACUUCUUCAUCCCAACUCUUAUGAGACUUAUUAAACUUCCUGAUGAUUCUCCACCACUUUAUGUAUCCAAAUCAAGCUUCUCACAAAGUAUUUCAUCCUGGUUUGAUUGGAACAACGAAGAAGCUGUGAUAUUCCACAACCUGGAAACUGGAAUCACCAGAUUUGAAAGUGGGAUAACUUCUUCAUCCCAACUCCUAUGAGAUUUAUUCAACUUCCUGGUGAUUCUCGACCACUUUAUCUGUCCAAUUCAAGCUUCUCACAAAGUGAUUCAUCCUGGUUUGCAUGGAACGACGAAGAAGCUGUCCUAUUCCCAAACUGGGAAAAUGGAAUCACCUUAUUUGAAAGUGGGAAAACUUCUUCAUUCCAACUCCUAUGAGGUUUAUUCAAGUUCCUGGUGAUUCUCCACCACUUUAUGUAUCCAAAUCAAGCUUCUCAGAAAGUGAUUCUUCCUGGUUUGAUUGGAACGGAAGAAGCCGUGCUAUUCCCAAACUAGGAAACUGGAAUCACAUGAUUUGAAAGUGGGAUACCUUCUUCGGGUACAGACCAGUACAUCAAGUGUGGACAUUAUCUAAGAUACCAUCGCAUCCCAAUAUUUUUCCUAUCAGUUCUUUUUUCGCUAUUAUGGAUCAUCUUUUUUGGAGAGUCAAUCCAAAGAUGGAUGACCACCAAUUUGCAUGGAUAUUAUGGUAUAUAUGGAAAGGCCAGAAUAACAAAGUUUUUAGCAAUCUGGAUAUUGAUCCGAGGAAAACACUUAAAAUAGCAGAAUUGGAGUCAUCACUUUGGGCUGAGGCACAUGUAGUAAAUGACCCAACGAGGGGGCAUCAGGUACAGACCAGUCCCCCAUUUGCGACGCCAGGACGAUGGUGCUUCAUAGAUGGAUCAUGGAACUAUAAGGAUUUAUUUUCAGGGCAAGACUGUUAUAGCACUUUGCCGGGUUUUGAUGGUUUAUUAGGGCAAGGAAUGUAAGGGCAUGUCUCUUACCCCUUCAUUCGGAGGUAGAUGCAUUAAUUUGAGCAAUGGAAGGUAUGAAGAAUUUAAGACAGUUUCAGGUAACGUUUGCAACGGAUUGUUCUCAAUUGGUGAAGAUGGUUCCAGAACCAGAAAAAUUGUCAGCAUUUGAAAGCUAUCAGGAAGACAUCAAGCUAUUAAAAGGAUAUUUUCUCAACUUAGACAUCGUUCAUGUACCCCGAACGGAGAACCUACGGGCGGAUAGCUUAGCACGCGGUGCUAGAAAACAACCGUUUUUCAUCGUUUACACGGAUGUGGAGUUACUGAUUUGGUUUACAGAGUCAACAUGAGUAUGUAAAUGUUUGUUGUCAAAAAAAAAAAAUAGAUAGAUAUUAAUGGAGUUCCAAUCACAAAUAACUUUGGAUGUUCUCUCUAAUCUACUAAAAAUCCUAGAAAACCUUUGAUGUGAAAAACAAUAAAACAAGAAAGCACACCUUGCCUCUAACAUGUUGGCAAAGCUUAUAUAAUUAGGUUAAAACUCGCCAGGGAUAAUCUUGUAAAUUGGUGAAGACUUGGGAUCUAUGUCGGCUGUGAUCAUACGGGCUUUCUGCGCUUCACUGUCGAUCGAUGUCAAGAUGGGAACAUCGAUCGAUUAUUCCUCUUCAAUAUCGACCGAUGGUCGAGCUCGAUGGUCAUCUCGGGUGCUUACUCCAAAUAUCUCCAAAAUGCUCCAAAAUAAUCACUUUCCUCCAAAUCACUCAUGAUCAAAUAUAUACUCUAAAUAGACUCUAUAAUAUAAUAAUUAGUAAUUAAAACACUUAUAAACCAUGGGUAAAAGUGGGUCAAAUCCAUGGUCUAUCAAGCAGCAAGCCAUGAAGAAGCGUAUGGCUAGUACUAUGUGGAGGAGACCAUAAGUAUUGAGCCUAGGUGUGAUUAUUCAAGGGAGGCGUGUGUGAUCUGAUCAUGGGUAAGGAUGGACGACCUGAUCCAUAGAUGAUGGAUCAAGGUGUCUGAUCUGAUUGAUCAAAGGAUACAUCGGUAGUAAGAGUAAGACUGAACGACUCCACUGGGACAUGGUUCCAUGGCCAGUUAGGUAAGUGUGGGCUCUUAUCAGUUCUGAGUCAUGUGGGAUGGUUGGUUGAUUGACUUAGAAUUUGAUGGGAAUCAUUAGUCCAAUAGCUGGACUUGGUAUCAUAAGCUAAUAAGCAAAAAUGUUGUUGGAUGAUGCAUGAGCCAGGAAGGGCCAAAUGCAUAUCCUUAAUUGUUUGAAGGCUUCUCAAGGGUUACUUAAGUUUAUGGGGAUGGUUGGCUGAAUGACUAAGUACCUAAGCGAGUUGUUUUAUGAGUAAAGGAGCUGAAUGCAGUAUAUGGCAGCUGGCCAUAGCUCGGUCUUAGCUCAGUUUGAGUGUGACAGCUCGAUCAACUGGUCUACGAGUUCAUUCAGCUAGAGCAGCUGGACCGAUAAGCUAACAAGCUGUGUGGAUGUGACCAAGUUAUGAUCUUGAUCUAGCAAUAUUUGCUUAGAUAGAAUGGUUUAGAGGUAUGGAACCUCAGAUAGUUAGACUUGAACCGAGUUAAGAACUGAUCUCUAAGCUGGAUGGUAGUUAGUUGAGCUAACUAGAGCAUAGAUGAUUAAACAGUUAAGUGUAUGGUUGGAUUUAAAUCCAAUGUUAUGAAAUAAUAUUCCGCUGCGUAUAACUAUGAAUGAUCUCAGCUAUGAAAGGCUAAGGAAGUCUUUAGCUAAAGUCUAAGGUAGCCAUUGCCUAAGGGCGAACUUAUAGAAGUAUGGUUAAAAUUAGGAAGUUCUGGCAGUAUGUGGUCUGAGCGACGAAGGACAUCGACCGCGGCUUAGACAGCCGGGUUGGGGCCCUUCAAGAUCCGCCACUGCUGCACCUUAAAACGCCGACUCCACACCUCGAAGACCUCGCCGCCUCGUUGUUGCUCCAGAGAUUCACCACCUACCACUGGAUCUAGUUCCCCUCGAGGUCGAUUUAGGUCUCCGGCUAGCGACAUUUCCCUAUAAACUCAAACAUAUCGACGACAAAGAGAGAUCCAAGGAAGAGAAGCAAAAGGAAGAUAGAGGAGAGGAGAGAAUGGACUGUCGGCGUGGCGUCUAAACACCACCAGCUGGAGGCAAUCGACAAAAUUUCUUUUCUGUGGCUAGAGAGGAAGAUAAGGUAGAGAGACACCCAAUAUGUUUCGAGUAGUGGUUAAUUUUGGUUAGAGUUUGAUAGUUUAUAUAGUUUGUUCAAAAUAAAAUAUUAAUUUAAAAUAAAAUUAGCAUGAUAACAAAGUUCAGAGAAGAAAUAAUACGAAGAUAAUUGUUGACGUUGGAAUUAAAAGGGGAAAUUGGCAUAAAUACCAUAUUCAUAUUACCAUUUUUUCAUGUUUAUACUAAUCACUUUUACCUUCACUUUUAAUGAAGGGUAAAAGAUAUUUAUACCCAUAGGUGAACUAAUCUAGACUUAGUAUUUAGAGUUGAAAGGUAGAGUAGAGUUUUUGGAAUGUGAAAUUUAGGAUUAUAAUAAAUAUAUAAAUAAUAUUCAAUUAAAAAAUAGUUUCAAACAUAAUUUUUGAUCCUUUUUGAAAAACAAAAUUUCAAAAAAAAAAUUACAAAAAAUUCUAAUUUUAAAAAGUAUAAUUCGAAAACAUUUAUUUUUUAUUUUAUUUAUUUAUUUAUUUAAAUAAUUAUUUAUUUUAUAUAUAGAGAAUAAAGAUAUAAGAGUCUUUACCUUUUUAACGAAAAAGAUAUUUUUGAAAAUAUCUAUUUAGUGGUGGUAAAAAUGAAUAAUGUUACUUGUAAACAUAAAAAUUUUCCAGUAUAAACAACUGACGGAGGAUUUACUAAUGCUUCUACACCAGGAGAUCUAGGUUUCAAUUCUCGGAGAAAACAUAAUUAUGCGAAUUAAAGGAGAAAAGGCUUACAAGAGAUCUACAACAUGGCGCAAGAAAUACCGUCAAACGUAGCUCAGGUGAUGCAGUCAAUCGUGAAUCCUCAUAUGGCAGGUAGAAUUGUCGGCUGUAGAAUCGUCUGUGACAUUUCUCAUAAUGGUAAUUAGGCCUGUCCAAUAUGGUAAAACCGAACCGUACAAAACCGAAUCGAACUGAAAUAGACAAUAUGGUGUGGUUUUGGUAUAUACCAUAUAAACCGAAUGGAUAUGAUUUUAUAAAAUCCGUAGGAUUUGGAUAUGGUUUGGUUUAUAACCGAUUAAACCGAAUAAACCGAACAAAACAGAUCAAAAGUAGAAACAUGUAAAUAUGUACAUAUUUUAUAACGUCACAUGAAAAUCUAUUUUUAUAUAAUUUAUUUGUUUAUUAAUAAUUAUUACCAUAUUUUUUAUAGUAAUAAAGAAUCCUAAUUUGAAAAACACUUAAAAUAUAAUUAAAUAACAAUUUAUCGCAACUAAGGCUUCUUAUUUUCUUAAUCUUCUUCUUUUAAUUAUUUUGCUUUCUCUUAGCAUUGAUUAAAUUGAAGUGAAUGUUAUAAAUUUGAUGGAUAAUAAUUAGAAAAAAUUCUUCACAAUUUUUUUUUUAUUUAUAAACGAACAGAACUUCACUCGAAAAAAGUAUGACUUUGAUGAAUACUAAAUAUAGAAGAGUGUAAAAACUUUUCUUUCAUACUCUCUUUUUUUUUUUAUUUUUUUUUUCAAAAUUUCGAGCUUUGAUUUUAAUUCUAAAUUUGAUUAUUUCAUCUGAAGGUAUAAGCGUUUUUAUUUGUUUUGUUCUUUUAUUUGAAAAUAUAAUAUUUUUUAAAUAAAUAAUUGCGAUGACAAUAUGACUCUAAAAUUUAUAUAAUAUGAUCUCAAACUAAAUAAUUAUGUUUGGUAUAAAACCGAAUAAACCGAAAAUCGACGGUAUAUAAACCGAACCGAAGUAAAUAUGGAUUUAAAUGGUAAUUAUAUUUUAUUAAUCGAAAUAUCAAAAAACCAGAAAAACUGAACCGAAACUGAACCGAUAUCCAGAUUGAACACUUCUAGUUGUAAUAACAUUAAAAAAAAAAACAGCUGAUGGAAAAAAAAGAAGGACGAACGUAAUACAAUUUUGGGCCCAAAAAUAGUGGCCGUUACAAUAACAACAAAAGUCUACAAUUUAGCCCAAUAUUAUUUGUCAUUGACACACGGCUACACCGAAAGCCCUAAUCCACGACAAGGCAUCACUAUAUAACAAUUACACACACGCUAACAAUUCGUCUUACAGUUGUUCAGCCGAUUUUCUAGAUUUUUCUUUGCUUUGAUUGAUCUCAGUUCGCUUUCUGGUUGAUCGCUAAUUCGAUUUUAGUUUUCAUAGUCUAGGUUUUUGAAUGGCUUCAUCAGAUAGUCGAUGUGGAUAUGUCCGUUCCCAUAUGAUUCGUUCCCUUGAAGCAAUAUUAAUCGUGCUGUUCUCGUUAUUAUAUAUUUCUCCCUGAUCAGUUCACAGCAUCAUACUGUUAAUUCGAGUUUGAUGCCGAUUCUGGAGCAUAACUUGGGCGACUACAUAUCUUGUUUAUUCUUAUUUUUCUCCGUCUUAUUUAUGGAUAAGAACAGUGAUGAGUCAUUUACAGACCUGUAAUGAUAGCGGUAAUGAUCGCUUUUCAUUAUGAACAUCUAAGGGACUGAGUUCUCUGUUUUCAUUUAGUGGUGGCUUUACAUGCUUUAAAGAUUCAUGCUUUGUAUUAUAUAUACGUGAAGCUUGAUGAGAACAUAUUAGCCUACAUUAAAUUUAGUUCCCCUCGCUAUCCUGUUCUUCAAUUACAAUGAUGUUUCUCAGGACGUCGGUGAACAAUAGUUCUCUUGUUUUACUCUGGUUUUGGUUUUAUUUGAUCAAAUGAGGAACACUUUGCCAAGUUGUUGAAUGCUCAGAAAAUUUCUAGAGUAUAAUGAUUCACUUGAAUAGGAAGAUCUGAUGUUAUUCUUUAUAAUUUUUCUGAUAUCAGAUUUGUUUUUGAUGGGUAUUGUUGUAAUAUGAAGCCGGUGAUGAUUAGAUUGGAUGGUUGCUGAAAAUUUCAGUGUUGAAAAACAUCUACAUGACUAGGACGGUCUGAGGCUUUCACGUGCAAGUUUUGUAUACAUUUUGAGAUUGUUAGGAGCAUGUUUGUGAAUGUGUAUGAGGAGAAACAAAAAUCAAAAUACAGUUAUCCCUGGCUUAGGCUUCUUAAGCCGUUGAUGAAUCUUUUGUAAUCUGACCACAUCACAACAGCUUCUCAAUGUAUUUCUUUUUACUUUAGGAAAUAAAUUUGUCAACUACACGAAGUUUACUCUAAUAUAAUGGAAACUAUGUGUUACAACUACACUAUGUUUAUGUUAAUGUUUGUCACAUAUAUAAAGUAAAUGUUUAUAUGGUAUAUUAAAUUAAGUUAAUGAGGUCAAUUUGUGAUAUAUUAAAAUUCAAUUCGUUUUAUUAAAUUUAAUCCGACCCAACUCUUUUAUCCGACCGGACUUGUUUGGAUCUCCAAUUCAAAAAUUAGGGUUCAUAACCAACAAAAAAAGGAUUUCAAAGAGAUGCAAUACAGAUGUAGUCUUACAUUCUUUUCUCAGAAAUUGGACCAAAGUUCUUGACAAUGAGAAUUUGACAUUUCACUUGGUUUACAUAUCUCUUUUUUUUUUCAGACCAAAUGAGAUUUUACCUUCUAAGAGAAGCCUUAUGUGAAGUCUCCUUCUCUCUUUCUGGCUAGACUUUCUAACUCUUAAUGUAUAACAUACAUUUGGUUUUGUUCCAAUAUCUUCGUUGCAAUGGAGUUAAUCAAUGGAAUUUCCAAAUUUGGUUCUUGUGCAGCACUAGUUGGGACCGUUUACAAGAAAUAACAGUAAAAAAAACAAGCGUUUCCUUCUUAGCAGAGAAGAUAAAAGCAUUGCAUCUCUUUGAAAUCAAUUUUUUUUUUUGUUAUGGGGUCUAAACAAGAGUCUUAAGUCGACACGGAUCGGGUAAAGGAGUUGGGUCGGUAGAAUUUAGAAAAUCAGAGUUAAUUUUAAUAUAUUAUUAAUUGAUUCCGCUAACUUAGCUUAAAAUCAAGAAAAAAAGUUUUUUGCCUACAUAACUUUAACAUUAAUAUGGUGGAAACUAUCCAAUAUAUAAAAAUGUGUCAACAACUAUACGUAGUUUAUGUUAAUACAUGUCACAUGUAUGAAGUAAAUAAUAAUAGAAAAAAUUGGCAAAUUGGGCAAAUCGCAAGUUCGAUAUUAGGGAGUUGGGCAACCUCAAAUUUAAAUUAGCAAAUUGGGCAAAUCGCCUUUUCCAGACUUGUGAAAUGUCGACAGAGGGCGCACGUGGUUCUUGAUAUUACGACCCUGCCAAAUCCAGAAAAGAGAAGAAAAGAAAAAAAAAGAAUUAGAAAAACAAAAACCUCACAUCAAAAUAUAUCAGAACCACCUCUAAACAGCUGCAAUUGAGAACCAAACAAGAUUCUCACAUAAGAACAACCCUCGACUGAACCCAGAUCGUCAUGGUACCCCCCUCCAGCGUAACGCCCUCGAGGAGAGUGACUCGUAGUCAAUCCGCCAGUGAUAAAGAACCAAAUCCUAAGAAAAUUCCCCGAGAAGGCAAAACUGCGUCUCGUUAUGCAGGUAUCUCCUUGCGCUAAGCUUCGCUGUGAAAUUCUUUGGGAAAAGUUUUUAAAAAUAAAGCGUUGGGUAAAUGUCUGGAUUUGGUCAUUGUAUUUCAGUAACGAGCACGGAGUCCGAAGUAGAGGAACCUGCAUCCACCGACCAAGAAGAAGCUGCAUCCACUGAACAAGACGUCGGUGCAUCCACCGAGCCAGAAUUUAUUGUCACCACGCCGACUUUCCCGGAAAGACUGUUCGCACGUAAUUGCUAUCCUGGCAAACCUCGACUGAACAUCUAUUCAAAGGCGAGUAUCAUUGGCUCGUUAGUGAAGUUGCUAAGCGGCUCCCCUGAAAUGAAUUGUCUGCUAUGAAGUCAGUUUGGAGCUCUGUUCCACUUACCUGUAUCGCGCUGCUCAAACUCUGCGAAACUUUUACAUUCUCUCCUGAGCCGCAGCUGGUUACGAUGCGCCUAUAUGAGCUCUGGUUCUUGUUUGCAGACAAGCCACUACGCUUUUCUCUGCGUGAGUUCGCAGACAUCACGGGGCUGAAAUGCGAGCCUGAAAGGGAAAAAGUUGGAAACGGGUCAGAAUCUAUCGAUGCCACACCUGGACGUAUGUGGAAAGAGUUGUUUGAAACUGAAGAUGAAGACGUGACUGUACCAGAUGUUCUUCGUAUGCUUGAACAGCCUAGUCUUCCUGAGUGGAAGCGGUUGCGACUAGCUCUCAUUGCGCUUGUAGAUGGGCUCCUGGUUUGUGGUCACAAACUUCUUCGUGUGACGCCUGCUUACGUCCAGAUGCUGGAAGACACCAGAUCAUUUCUUCAAUAUCCAUGGGGGAGAGAGGCAUUCGUCAGCACUCUGUCUAGGUUGACACCACCUCAGCCUUGUGAUCCUUCUAAAAUGGAUAAAUCCCUUUCGGUCAUGCGCCUUCGUUUGAAACAGCAGUCAACAGCGUGUUAUGGGUUCCCUCUGGCGCUGAAACUUUUUGCUUUUAAAGCUAUCCCCUCAUUGCUUGAGAAAAUUCCCGAACCUAAUAAAACCACUUCUUUCUUGCAAGAACCAGAAGGAUGCGACUUAACAAAUGCACUUCUGAAUUUUGAAGACAUACUUCUGGUGGAAACCCAAAGAGAGGUACAAUGCUGUUGUCUAUCUUAUUUGCAAAACAGAAGUUUAAACGCUCAAACUUUGUGUACUUAUGAAUGUUUGUGUUCUUUGUUUGAGGUUAUUGUUACGUAUUCAAUCCCAGAUGAAGGUGGGGAUCCAAAGUGGAAGAAAGAAGUAAGCGAUCCCCGAAUAGAUAGCUUAGUUCGUUGAAUGCGGGAAGGGCACAAGUUCAAAGCAACAGACUUUAGAGGAGGUGAUUCAUCCCUUCCACCUCUGAAGCCAGCCGAAAAGGCUGAAGGUGUUGCUGUCAAAAAAAAGUGUGAAAAGCCGUCUAGGCGGUUUGGGCAAGCCUGUGAUGAACCUGGAAGUUCGACUCAGGCGCCUGAGCGUCCUAUUCGACCUCGUCGUGGGAUAUGUAAACAGGCUGAACCAGGAAACUUAUCAGAUAAGGAGCAAGAGCUGAAAGAGUGGAUACGAGUUGAACUGAAAACCCAGUUGGGUAAAUUGCGGAACGAGAUUUUUGAGUGGUUGCAUCAUGAUAGGGGAGGCUCGUUCACGGUUCCGCAAAACACAGCAGCCGGUAAAACAAACAGAGACAACAGUCACGCUGACCCUACCGGCAUGGAAGUUCCAAAGAAACGACGUCCGUUCAGUGGUGAUGGUAAUGAUGAAGCUGAAAUAUUUGGGUCUGAUAGUAAGAAACAGAAGAAGAACAACGGCGAUGGGUUUAGCGACGAUGAGACGAUGAGAAUGCAUGAUAAUCAUUGUGAUGAUCGUACGCCAAAUGCUCGCUUCUGGGAAAAGGUAAUCAAACUGCUCCUACAAUUUUUAAUGAUAAACAAUGCCUGAAUCCCGGUCUAACUUUUUUGAGGAAAAUUCAACGUGUAGGUAGAUUCAAUGGCGGGCGAAGGCCCCUCUUCCUCGAAGUCGGCAAACAUUCCAGAAGUCGAUGUUUCAACGCCUAUUGUCCCGGAACCGUUGGAGGUAAAUAGAUUAUAACAAUGAAUUUAUAGGCUCUAGAUAUAUUAUGUUUGCUGUUCAGCUUGGUUUGGCCAGGUAUUCAGCGUAGAUUAUCAGUUGUUCGUUUUAGUUAGUGAGGUGUACAGGAAUACUGAUUUGUUUGGUCAGGUAUUCAGGUUAUUUAGUUAAGGUAUUCAGGUUAAUUUAUGAGGUGUACAUGAAUACUGAUUUGUUUGGUCUGGUAUUCUGGUUAAUAGUUCUGGUAUUCUGGUUAAUAGUUCUGGUAUUCAGGUUAAUUUAUGAGGUUUACAGGAAUACUGAUUUGUUUGGUCUGGUAUUCAGGUUAAUUUAAGAGGUCUUUUGCUUAAGUAGUCAGGUAUACAGAUCUGUUUGAUAGUUUUCAGGUGUUCACCUUAGUUAGUCAAGUGUUCAGCUAAUUUUUCCCGGUGUACAGAUUAUGUUGAUUUAGUGUUCGGAUUUUUUUAUCAGGAGUUCAGUUUAGUUUGUCAGGUAUACACCCAUUUGUUCUGAUUUGAAGUAUUUGAAUGAGCUAUAUCUGAACGUUGUCAGGGCGAGGGGGGAGAUGAGUCUCCAAUAUCAGGGCUAAAUUUGUUAGCAGAAGAGAUUGAAAAGGGGUCACGGAGUGACAAUGUCUAUAAAGAUCUACAGGAGAACACUUGUAGGAUGCUUACCGUUUGGUCUCAUCCUGAAUCUUAUGUCCUUCCGCCGGAGGAACAAGGUGGUAAAGCGUCACCGACAAAUUCUGAAGAUUACAAGACACUGCCAGAGGAUGAUCCGAUGACUGAAUCUCGCACACCAGACGUUGGGAAUUCGAAGCUGAGUCGAUAUCUGACUAGGUCAUUAAAAAAUGCAGAGCUAGAAGGGAAAUGUAUUCCAAUAAGCUCAACCAAAAAAAAUGACCUCCAGACGAAGCGUAUUCCGAUACGUUCAAGAAAGAUUGGAGGAGUGUACACCCCAGACAAGAGAUUGAAGAAGCUUUUCCAAAGCUGCAAGAAACUCAAAUAUACGCCCUUAGCAGAGUUGGAGAAAGCGCAGUUUCAAGAGUUUCAGUCAAUUCUCUGCGAGAAACCGACACAGUAAGUUGUUUGGAUAUACUGUAUAAAUUUCUUGGACUGUCAAAUAUUUAAUAUUGAGUUUUUGUUUGUUUUCAAAUUUCAGAGAAUUCGAAAUUGUUAUUGGGAUCCAUGUCUCAAAUAAGUUCUUCCUGUCGUUGGCGAGGCCAACAAAUUGGGUCAGUACCGAGGUAUUCAAAUCAUCAGAACUUAAUCCGUUUUAUUCAAGUUACAACACGGAUUUCCACCGAUUUAAUGUUCUAAUGGUUUGUACAUAUUUUUCAGCACAUUUCUGUGCUAAUUAGUAUGCUAGUAAGGCGACAUGGACGCAAUUACCUGAGUGGGAGGUGCAGAUUUGUAGACUACUUCAGUAUUGCGGGCAUCAUAUCAAAGUUUGCAGAGUUCGAGAAGGCCUCAGAUAAAUUGGGAUUCAACUGGGGAGGGCUUGUCAGUUACAGUUUCACCGGAAAAACGCCACGUCGGAAUGACAAGAAGGUGUUGUUGGUUGAUGUGGACAGGGUGUACGCCCCAAUGAUGUGGGGAAAAGAUCAUUGGGUUGGUCUUGUUAUCAACUUGACAUGCAGACAAGUGGAGAUUUUGGACUGCAACAUUCCCCAUAAUGAGUCCGAUAAUGAGGUGAACAAGCACAUGGCUUAUCUUCUACGCGCACUGCCUCAUGUCUUAGCUGCGUUUUCGCCUCCUUCCGAUAGUAGUCAUCCUGAAGAAGACCAAGCAUUUUCAUGGGUGCGUCCAGACAAUAUUUACUUCAACGAAAGGUCUGGCGACUGUGGACCAUGCGCGGUCAAAUUUCUAGAAAUGCAUGCAGCGGAAUACUCCUAUGAGGAUAUGGGGCAGAUCGAUGACAAAAUGGUGGACAUAUUCCGUCAGAAAUACGCGAUGGAUACCUAUGAAGAAUUUAUUGGAAACGCAAAAGUUCAAAACGAUGGUUGAAGACGUGUAUACUGCCUGCUUCAUUUUGUUUGUUAAACCGAAUUGUUAAACGGUUAUUGUAUCUUUUCAUUCAUCCAGACACUAUAAUUCAAACAGAUCAGUUUAUCUUUGAAGGUUUUACAUCGUCUUUCUUAUAUAUUUAGGGUUUAGGGUUUAGGGUUUAGGGUUUAGAGUUUUGGGUUUAGGGUUGCAUGUUUAGGGUUUAGGGUUAGUUAUUUGUUUCAAAGGAAAACAAUUUCAGAAGUAGUUGGUGUUUUUACUGUUUCAUUUAAUAAGUAUUAGUGUAAAAUUUAAAAAUUGAUUGCAAUAACUAUUUCUCUGAGUGUGUUAGGUACAAAAUGUGGGAGGGGACAAUAACUUUCCUAUUAACUCAUAAGACUCCUUUGUUUAUUUCUUUAUUCUAUAUAUACAUAUUCAAUGCGUCUGAUAAACAUCUCCAACAGAACCCAAUAGUAUGGCAUCUCUAAACAUCCCCCAUCUUCCAGAAGAAAUUUUGUGUAAAAUAAUAGAGAUGGUGGGAGUGGAUUCAUUCUACUAUCUUGGUGGUAUUUUGCGGGCUGGGAAACGCGGUUAUGCACUUGUCCACGAACCCUCCGUCUUAAGGAAGUGUAAUGUUCAGCCAAUGGUCACCUUUGCAACAUGUCAAAUCUGCACUGGUGGUCAGUUUCGGGAGUUUUUGAUCAAGUGCGUAACAGCUGGCAACACAAACGCUAUCUACUAUGAAGGGCUCUAUGCAGCACUGAUGGUAGGUCCUGAGAAAUAUAUUAGAAUAUUGCAACAAAAUGUCCCAAGUCAUGAUUUAUCAACUUUAGCCGUCGGCAUUUUCUACGUGUGUAUUGGCAAUGACAAGGAAGCCAGUAAACUGUUUCAGCAGUUCGCAGCUAAUCACUAUGACCUUCGCUCGGAUGCGAUAGUUGGACUGGGAGCUGAUCUAGAGUGGCGAUUGAUAUCAUUUGAAGCGCCAUACAUGAACAUAUAUGGUGCAUCUUUCAAAUUUCCGGAUGAUGAGGUUAUCAAGUCACCAAGCUGCCUUUAUGGCCAUGAUUACACAGUCGAUUUUGAAGGUUCUUGUAAAAACUGCAGGCUAUUUUGGAUAUGCUGCAACAUUUCUCACAUCCUCUAGGACUUUAUUUAUGUUAUCCUCGAUGUUAUCUGUUUUCUAUCGUAUAGCUUAAGUAUUCGUGGACCUUAAGUAUUCGUAUACCUUAAGUAUUCGUAUACCUUAAGUAUUCGUAUACCUUAAGUAUUCGUAUACCUUAAGUAUUCGUAUACCUUAAGUAUUCGUAUACCUUAAGUAUUCGUAUACCUUAAGUAUUCGUAUACCUUAAGUAUUCGUAUACCUUAAGUAUUCGUCAAUGUUAUCUGUUUUAUCUCGUAGACCUAAAGUAUUCGUCAAUGUUAUAUGUUCUAUCUCGUAGACCUAAAGUAUUCGUCAAUGUUAUAUGUUCUCUCUCGUAUACCUAAAGUAUUUGUCAAUGUUAUAUGCUCUCUCUCGUAUACCGUAAGUAUUCGUAUACCUUCAGUAUACCGUCAGUAUUCGUAUACCGUCAGUAUUCGAAUACCUUCAGUAUUCGUAGACCUUAAGUAUUCGUAUACCGUCAGUAUUCGUAUCCUAAUUUUACCAAUAUUAAACAUGCAUAAAAAGACAGCUUUAAUAAACAUAAAUCAUAUACUAUAUUAUAAAAUAUAAUGGGCUGUCCAUGUCCAAUGGGUAUGUCCAAAUUGUACGUAGUCCAAAUUGUCCAAACCCAAAAUAGAACCAUCACAUUUCACAAAUGGUUUUAGCCCAUCUAAUUUGGACGUAAUAGGUUUCAGUCCAAUUUCACAACUUUAAAUUUUGGGCCCAUCUAAAGGUCAGACCAUUUGGGUUUGUUCUUGGUUAACCCAUGGUCAUUAAGCCCAUUAAUGGAAUUAUUCGUAGACCUUAAGUAUUCGUAUACCGUCAGUAUUCGAAUACUGAAGGUAUUCGAAUACCUUCAGUAUUCGUAGACCUUAAGUAUUCGAAUACCUUAAGUAUACCGUCCGUAUUAGUAUACCGUCGGUAUACGAAUACUGUCAGUAUUCGUAUACCUUCAGUAUUCGUAGACCUUAAGUAUUCGUAUCCUAAUUUUACCAAUAUUAAACAUGCAAUAAAAGACAGCAAUAAUAAACAGAAAUCAUAAACUAUAUUAUAAAAUAUAAUAAAGAGUUCGAAAAAAAAGAGUUCAAAAUAAUUACAAAAAAACACUAAAAUUCAAAAUAUUUAAUAAUAUUAAAAGAGGAGGAGGUUCCUAGUCGGAGUCGGAGGUGCUGGAGUCGGUGCCGGAGCUGUCUGGGUAGUUGUCCAUCCUGAACUGCCCAGAACCCAACGUGUCGUCGGUCCUGUCGGACGCGUCGUCAUCCACGUCCGUCUCCAUCUGCAUCCACUCCCAGUAUUCACCUUCUUCAUCGUCCUUAAACCCCAACGCUCCUUCGCCGUCAUAUCCGUAACCCUCAUCCUCCGGGUCACCUUUUUUCUCCGCCUUGCGAGCACGUUUGCUACUGCGGGGAUCGGGGCUUGUGCAGCGCCGUUUGCGAGGGGUGGAUGGAGGUGUUUCCUUUAACCCCUCCUCGACUUCCUCCGCCUCCUCGAACAGGGCCUCGACUGUGGCGAACUCAUCAGUUUCCAGACCGUCGCGGAUCUCUUCCUUCAAUCCGGCCUUGGCCAACUCGAUCAACUGCUGCUCGGUGCGUUCGCCGACUAUAGGCAAACUGUAAAAGAAUCGCUUGUAUUUUGCGACGGUCAUUUUGCCCUGGCUGAUAUCAUAAACCAUUUUUGGAAUGAAAGAGGUUUGCAGAGAAAGAGGUUUGCAGAGAAUAUGUUUAGAAAGAUGAAAAAAAUAUUAAAUGUCAACUGAGUAGUAUAUAUAUUACGAAAAUAAUUAAUUAUUUUUUUGGUAACAGACGCGGCGUUCCAUUACUACUCCUCGGUUUAAACCAUGCGAAUUAAAUCGUUGCGACUCCUCCGUAGAAUUAAAUCUCCGACUGAUUUGACCAUACGAAAUAAAGUAGGAAACUUUAUUGUCGCAGACAGAGUUCACUUAAAUUUAUUUUCGUGUUAAAACCAUAAGUGUACGCGUGUUCGUACACCAACAAAGAGAGAGAUGAGAAUACCUUAAGUUCAUACAUUAAUUAGUACAAAUAUGUAUAAAGAAGAUGUCUUCUCCGUGUCAGAAGGUAGCCCUAAUUUCAAACUACAGUAUGAAGCUUACGUAACCGAGGAGGUAUAAUGAUGACUUCGUACACCUUAACCGAGGGUGUAUAAUGAUGACUUUUGUACACAUUAUGAAACUAAAUUAAUUCAAAUGGAUUUGAUUUUUAAUUGGAUAUGGAUAGGCCCAUUAUGAGAUAAACAGUUAAAAUUUGAUAGAAGAGUACAAAUUAACCUUAACAUAAACAGUACAAAUUUGAUAGAAGAGUACGAAAAUUACAUAAUAGAUCCGAGAAAUGCUAAGAUCAGCGAUCCACCAUAAUUAAUUGCUUAAGCUCUUUGAUCUCCUCACGCAUUUGCGCAAGUUCAAAUUGCAGCUCACGGCGGAGCGACACCUCCUCAGCAUACUGACUUCUCAAGCAAUCCAGCUCUUCCUCGAGGGCAGUAAGGCAGUCAUGACGGAUGUGCAAACCAUCUUUCUACAAGAAAAUAUAUUAGAUUUGUUAGCUAAAAACAAUACCAUUUCCGUUAACAAUGGAGGCAAAUUUAAGUAUUGUGAACUCCAAUAUUACCUUAAAAUCUUUGCAUACGUAAUAGUUUUUUCCUCUGUCAUCAGCUUCCACGGUGAUAGCUCCACCGCAGAUACACUUCGUUGGAAUUUUGUAAUUGGCAUAGACACAAUUGCUCACCCAGUCAUACUCCCUUUUGUGAUGCUUCAUCUCUUUAUAGUAAGGAUCCGUCAUUUUGUGGUACUGGUGAGUGUGGUGAAGAGAGAUUGUUGAGUGUUGUGAAGAGAGAUUGUUGGGUGUUCUGAAUUAUACUUAAGUAGUGCAAGAUUGUAACGGCUAUAUUUUACUUCAAAAGCAUUUCUAACGGUAAUAUUGAGAGGGAUAUAUUCACCAUUUUUUAUUUCAAACGUGUUUAUUGGUUCAUAGAAUUUUAGUAGAAUCAUAAAAAAUGACACAUUACAAAAAACCACAUCAAGAGUUCAUUACUCAUCCGAUUUAUUACAUUACAAAAUAAAGAGUUACUUGAAUAUGAUCACCAACCCAAGUAAAACUAAUAUAAUAACCAUUCCACCAACAAAGUAUUCGAAGCCAUUGGUUAACCUUGUUCUCUUUUCAGCUAAUUCAGACACUACCUUCUCUAGCCUAACCAGCUUCUGCUCAGUCUCAUUCUGGAGUUCCUUCAACUUGUUAAGUUGUGGGUCAUAGUCAUUCAAAAAGGUUAGAUAAUCUACCUUUUCAGACAAUUGAAGUGUGUGCAUAUCCCUGGCUCUCAUCUCCUCCAUAACCGCAUCAUCCCACCAUUUAUGAACAUGACAGUCUCCAUCAUUAACAUUAUCACACGUGUAGUAUCUUCUACCUGGAUCAUUUACAGUGCGAGAUGUUGCUAGCUUAGGCCGACCACCACAGUAGCAUGUCUGCGGGAAUCCAAAUUUGACCUCGGGUUGCGGAGGGUACUGAACCGUCGAAGCAUAAUUGUAAUUUAGCUCAGCUUGGUCCCGACGAAUAAGAUCUUCAACUUCACGGUCUUCUGUGUCGCUGGAGUCAUGCCCACCAUAGUCCUCUGAUUCCGAAGGCUGGCUAUAGCUAUAAUCAAGUCCCAUCUUUAGUAUAAAAUUGAGAGUAAAGAGAGAAUCACAAAAAAUCUGAAAUAUAGACGACACAAGCACUCAUACUUAAAUAGAUUGAGAUUGUAACGGCUAUAUUAUUAUUGGAUUACAAUACAACGGCUACAUUGUAUUUAAAUGUCUUUCUAACGGCUAGAUUGGCUAAACAGAUAUCGUACACCUCAAGUUGUAAACAAGUUACAUCAAAUCAAAAGUCAUCAAAUCUUCAACUAUGUUUACCUCAAGUUGUAAACAAGUUGUAAACCAUAUUAAGGAAUGACAAUAAAACCAUACAUAUCUAAUAAAUUCAAGAAGAAGCUCUGCGUAAAACAUAUCGCAAAAUAGCAUUAUAGAUGUGUUGUAAACCAUAUUAAAUUUCCAAAAAACAAGAACUCUCUUGUCAACAAUACAUAAAAUCUCCUCCAUCCAUAAGCCAUCAUUGUAGCGGUUCUUUACAAGACUUUUUGUUGUGACCUGAGAUAUGACAUCGACUACAUGUGUUUAGUUUCUUCUUCUUCGGCCCCUCCUGAAAAAAACAUAACAGCCUUUAUUCAGAAAAUAUCCAUGACUACAGUCAGAUGAGAUUAGGUCGUACCAGUAUUUCUCCUGCAGAACGUUUACGCUUGGUCGGUGGACGUCCUGGUGGUCUCUUCGUCUUUGGUGGUAACAUGAUAAGGUCACUAACCUCCGAAGGUAUGAAAAGAUCUUGCGGAUCUGGAACCGGGAGUGUAACACCCUUUGUUGUUUCAUUCCAUGUCUUUUUUAGAUAGGCGUCUGCAACGAACUCUGAGUGCUGCAAGUUCCGAAACAUAGACGCAGCAAUGGCAUGUCGACAUGGUAUUCCAACUUUCUGGAAUUCAAGACAUGUGCAAGACCUGGUUUCCAAAUUAACAGAACUCCCGAAGCCGGUUGUUUUAAGAGUUACCUCAAAUUCAAAAGCAGACAGACGCAUCACAGCUUACGCUCUUGCGUCUUCUAGAUUGUUUUCCAUCAACUCGUCAAUAGCCGGGGGGAUCUCACCACUCAUUUUCGAUAUCUUUCGCUGUCUACUCACAAACCAACGACUAAUCAUGCGUCUGAUGAACUCAAAUAGCGCCAUUAUCGGGGAAUCGCGCGCAUGAACUAGUGCUUUGUUGAGAGACUCAGAUAUAUUCGAGCUCAUUAGAUUGUACCGCUUGCCCUCAAAGUGUGACCUUGUCCAAUGCCUAUGAUCGAUCUUCUCAAGAUAAUCCCAACAGCGCUUAUCUGUAAGUUUGAUCUCCGCGUAAAGUCUCUUAAAGUAUGAUACCUUGAAUACCUCGGCUGCCCUGCCAACCAUUUGCUUCUGAUUCCUUUUCUUGAAUUUUGCGUCGACGUUUCUCUGUAGGUGUACGAGGCAGCACCCAUGGUGUGAAAGAGGAUACCACUUAUCUUUAGCAACACAUAUUUGACUUGAUCUAUCAGACACGAUAGCUAAAUCGGAGCCAUCUUCUACGAUCUCUUUCAGCUUCUCAAAAAACCAACUCCAAGACUCAUUUGUUUUAUUGUCUACAACAGCAAACGCUAUAGGGAAUACCUGAUAAUUGGCAUCUUGCCCACUUGCAGUUAGUAAACACCCUUUGUACUUCCCAAACAUAUGAGUACCAUCCACCACAAUAACCUUCCGUAGAUGCUUCCACCCGUCAAUGCAAGCUUUCAGCGCCAUGAACGCGUACUUAAACCUUGUCUGACCCUUAUCAUCUUUUUCAGUUUUGAUAUCAGUAAUGAACCUAGGAUUUGCAUACUUUACAACAUAAAAAUAUUUCGACAGGAACUUGUAAGAGCUCUCUUCAGUUCCUUGUGCAGCCACAGUUGCUAACUCUUUUGCUUUCCAACAUUUCCAAUAUGUGGCCGUAAACAAGAACUCAGUCCGGAGCAUCUCGGGUAAUUCAGAUGCGCACGGUCCAGCUUGGAGCCUUUCAUACUUCGAUCUCAUUAGUGCCGCUAUUACUUUCGACGUCGCAUGUUUCUUAUAUUGCGCUUUAGCAUCAGAUGUGCAGACAUGCUUCAGUUGCGCCUUCCUCACCUGAUAUGCCGAAGAUUCCCCCAAUUGCUUAGCCAUAACAUAAAAUUUGCAGUUUUUGUCAAUGCAUUUCGCUGCGACGUAGUUAAACACAUGUUUGUGGAACUUGAACCUGAACACCUGCUUUAAGGCAUAAAUGUGCAAACUGAUCUUGAAUUCUUGCUUGCUACUGAAUAGUUUCCCAGUGUACAUAUCAGCAUCUGCUAGAGUGAAGUCAAUAUCAUCGACGGUAUAGUCGUUAACUGCUUCGUUGUUAGACGAAGAUUCUACAUCCUCAAAUCCAUAUAGCUCAACGGCUCUAAUGGAUUUCAUGAGUGAUUCGUCAUCAGCCUUAUCCUUUUGACGACGUCUUCUUGCGUCUUCCUCACGGCUUCGAGACUGAGGUACCGGUUCGAUAAAGUCGCCAUCCUCGUCUUCUCCAACCAGGGUUUCAUGUGUCCGACCACCCGAAACACACUGAGGCACCGGUUCGACAAAGUCGUCAUCCUCGUCUUCUCCAUCCGGAGUUUCAUGUGUCUGGCCACCCGAAACACACAUAGGUACCGGUUCGACAAAGUCGUCAUCCUCGUCUUCUCCUUCAGAUGUAGCAUCUGUCGGUCUAGACGAAACACAUUGAGGGACCUGCCCAACGAAAUCAUCACUGUCGUCAACUUCCCAAGUAUGCAUGUUGAACGGCUUUGGAGGAGUCUGGAUAACCAACAUUUGGGAGCUGUUGUCCAAACUUGGGUCCUCUUCUUGAUUUGGAUCUGAAUGAUUCUUAGUGUCGGCCACUUGAUCACUUGACUUGACACCUAAAUUGUUACUUGCUUCUUCAAUAUUCUCCAUCGAAAUCCUAGAUGAGCCUAUGUAAUAUCUACCCUCAUCUACGUAAUCUUCAAAAGUUGAUGGUGGGUUUGCGGUACGCUUUUUGUUUGUAGAUGGACCACUACCUUUGUUUGAAGAAGGAUUAGUGCGUCCACUCCUCGUUUUAGUCACCACCUCACCACGUACACCUCCAUAUGUUACGUUCGUUCGACCACCACCACCUACCCCUCCAUCCUCAUCCUUAUCAUCGUCCCAUUCGCAAUUUCGUCCAACAAAAUCAUGCCAUAAAUUGUAAUCAUAAUCCUCAUAGUCGUCAUCUUCGCCUUCCCCUAAUGCAGCAUCUUCAGUCGUGUCCACUUUAUUCUGAACUUCACAUGCAGUUCCAUCCACUUCACUCAUCCCUAUACCAUUUGAGGCAUAAACUGCUUCAAUUUCCGCAACUCCCAUCAGAAUUAUUUCAUCUUCGGUCAAAUCAGUCUCACCGUCAUUAACUUCAUUCCGGGUGUGCACAUCAGCAGACGUACUCCCAACAUGCAUUUCGUUGCUGCUGGCAACUUCUUUGGACUUCAAAAGAUUCCCCAUUGGCCUCAGAAAAUGGAUUUUCCCAUCUAUUUCCUCUUUGAAUGUGACAAAUACGUUGAUGUACUUGUCCACCUUACGUGCCGAAGUAAACAAGUCGAAAUCCUUGUCGUUGGAAAUUUGAACAGGAGCUUCUCUUUCACCAACAGCACAAGAUCCGUGUUCACCAAGCCAAUAUGAUAUCUCAACGGCAACAGACAUUCCAACUAGACCGUAUGACUCAAUAAUGGCCCGCUUCAAGUCUUCAACAGAAGUUAUCAACUUCGCAUAGACAGUCCUCCCCAUACGGUCGCUAUAAAGUUUAAAAUCCCAGUCACCAGUGUCGUACAUAAUCCACCGUCCAGAGAUUACAACGAUGUAUGAAUCCUGAACACCUACGAAAAAUAGAACUUAAAUUUAUUUAAUAAUUCAAUGUGCUAAUCAGAAGCAAUAAAUAUAGUUUCGUACAAACAAACACCUGAAUUCCGAACACCCUCAAAUCUGUAAUAAAUGAUUUCAGCCAUAACUAUAAUGUCAUAAAUGCAAUGGUGUACGGCUUAUAUAUGAUUUACCUUCGAUGCUAGAUACAGAACACCCACCAUCCACCAUACCCUUUCCUCCCUCACCAUAUCGGAUGCAGCUCAUGCCUCUGUGUGUAAAAUUCGCUGCCUCAAGUUCCCUUCUUCGGUAGCCUUUUUUACUCCUCAACAAGGAGACAUGCAAAGAGAUAGGGUUCGUACGUUUUUGUAUUAAAUAAUUAAUAUUUGCCCUGUUUUUAAUUAAUAAAUUAAAGUAAAACACAUGUUUUCCAAAGUCACCAGUCAUUAAUGGCCAUUCGUCCACUUUGGAGCCGUUGUUUCUCGCGAGAAAUCUUCAACUAUGAGGUCUUCAAGUUUUGGGGUCAAAUAGCCCAAAAAAGAAGCCCACUACCAUGUUUCCUUCUGAAAUUAAAAUAAUAUAAUAUUAAAAUCGUCUCUUACACGCACAUCCGGCGCGCGUGUGUCGGUUUUCCUGAGGCAAGUUUUUCUGGGCAAAAGACAGCUUGGUCCCACGAAUUUCAGCUCAAGAUUGUUGGGCAAAAAGGUUAAAACUGUCCACUUUUUCUUCUCUCUCCUACUAGGUUGCCCAACAACCUAAUUAAAACAUGGGCUUGCCCAAAUUUCUAAUUCAAACUUGAAAAUUGCCCAAUCUUCUAAAUUUCCCAUAAUAAUAUGGUAGCAACAUCACAAUCGGGUUUAAUUGAUUUUAAACUAAGUUAAUGGGGUUAAUCCGUAAUUUACUAAACUUAAUAAACUUAAUGAUUUAUUAAGUUUAAUAAACUUAAUUGAUUUUAUUAAAAAACUUAGUAAUUUAAUAAACUUUAACUUAAUAAUUUAUUAUACUUAAUAAAUUUAUUAAAUUUAAUAAACUUAAUUUAUUUUAUUAAAAAACUUAGUAAUUUAAUAAACUUUAACUUAAUAAUUUAUUAUACUUAAUAAAUUUAUUAAAUUUAAUAAACUUAAUAAUUUAAUAAACUUAAUGGUUUAUUAAGUUUAAUAAACUUAAUUGAUUUUAUUAAUAAACUUUGUAAUUUAAUAAACUUUAACUUAAUAAACUUAAUAAUUUAUUAUACUUAAUAAAUUUAUCAAACCUAAUAAACUUAAUAAUUUAAUAAACUUAAUAAACUUAAACUUAAUAAACUUAAUAAAUUUAUGAAACUUAAUAAACUUAAUAAAUUUAUGAAACUUAAUAAACUUAAUAAAUUUAUGAAACUUAAUAAACUUAAUAAAUUUAUGAAACUUAAUAAACUUAAUAAAUUUAUUAAACUUAAUAAAUUUAACAAAUUUAUUAAGUUUAUUAAGUUUGCUUUAUUGUAUUCGGUUUUGUUUGACCAUCAUUGGGUAAUUUUGUUGUGCUAAUCUUUUACAUAAAAAAAUAAGACAUUGAUUUGUAGUGACCCAUAUUUUCAUGUUUUGUAAUUAACACAAAAUCAAAAACUUUUCAAAAUAUCAUGAGAACUUUACAUUAUUAGAGAAAACUUUUACAUAUGUUUUGAGUCGGUGUGGAUGCUCUUCUCUUUCUAAUACAGACAAACGAGAAAGAAUGGUGACUAUCUUCUAGAAGAGUUUUCAAUGUUAGAUCUAUCAGUGAAAUGUUACUAAAAGAAUAAAAUUAUAUCAUAUUUUAUCAUAUUUUUUUCAAUAUACGUUUUUAUUUCAAUAAAAUGAUAGAUAUUAUUAUAAAAUUGAUAAAAUAAGAUAUAAUUUUAUUCUCUUAGUAACAUUUCAUUACUAAUUACAAAAUUAGUUGAAAAUAUUUAUAUUCAAUUUAUGACAAUUAAGAUCUUAUUAUAAUCUUUUUCAAGAGAUUUGUUAUAAUUUAUUUUUUUUUUAAAUUAAAAGAUAUAAAAGAUAUUAUAAUUAAAGUAGUUAAAAAUAUUAUAUAUAUUAGCAUUAGUGAUAUACAUUUAAUACAAAAUUUAAAUGAUGGUCCAAAUAAAAUAUCACUCAUCAAAAAAUUAUGAUUUUUAUUUUAUUAGAAAACAAAUUUGAAAAAAUUAAAAUAGAAAUAAAUAUUUAUUUCUAACAAAAUCUUUAAAAAUUAUUGGUAAAUGUAUUUUUGAAAUUAAUUAAUUUCAUUUUAUUUAAAUUUAUUCAAUUUUAAUUUCUAAUUAUAUUUUAUGAUAAUUUAAAUUAAAACUAACUAAUUUUUGAAAGUAAAUUUAAAAAGAUUCUAAGAAGAUUUUAAAAAGAUUUUGUUAGAACAUUUUAAAUAUAUUCAUUUGUAUUUCAAAUAAAAAGAUAAAGAUAUUAAAAGAUAUAAUAAUGAACUUAAGUAAAAUAUGAUAUUUUCUUGGAAUUGUCCAAACUAAAAAAAUCACACAUGAAAAGAAGUCAUGACUUCUGUUUUAAUAUAUUAGAUGAAUUGAUCCCACUANNNNNNNNNNNNNNNNNNNNNNNNNNNNNNNNNNNNNNNNNNNNNNNNNNNNNNNNNNNNNNNNNNNNNNNNNNNNNNNNNNNNNNNNNNNNNNNNNNNNUCCGCAUCUAUGGCAUAGAGAUGACUUGGACGUGUAAGAUGGUUUGGAUAUGCCACCUCGUCCACGGCCAUAACUGCCUCGGCCCCGACCGUAAUUGGAACCACGACCACGGUUAUUGUGGUUUCCUUUUCGGCCGGUUGAGUAGUUGUCUCGACCGUUCUGAUUGUCACGCCUACGCCUCUUGUAUCCACCACGGCCAUUGCCGUAUGGUUUCCUGUUGUCUUGGGCGUAGUAGGUCUCUUUGGGAUCUUUCUUUUCAACCUCAUGGGCUUCGGGUAAUGGUGCUGUCCCGGCCGGUUUGGCUCCACUAUUCUUCAUUAGGAGCUCAUUGUUUGCCUCGGCCAAGAGUAGACACGAGAUCAGAUCAGUAUAUGUGGCAAAACCUUUUGUUCUAUAUUGCUCUUGCAAUACAAAAUUCGACUGAUUGAAAGUCGUAUAGGUCUUUUCAAGCAUCAUCAUAUCGGAUACUUCUUCACCACAAAGACUUAGUAUUGAAACUAUCUUGAACAAGGCUGAAUUGUACUCAUCCACUGACUUAUAGUCUAAGAAUCUUAGGUGCAUCCAGUCGUGCCUUGCCUUUGGAAGCAACACCAUCUUUUGGUGAUCAUAUCUAUGCUUUAAAGCAUUCCAAAGAUCUAGUAGAUUUUCAAUUGUCAUGUACUGAUCUUUAAGACCUUCAAUGAGAUGAUGGCGCAUAAAGCUUAUGGCCCUGUAUCUAUUCUUUUCAUUCUCAUUGUUGUCCUCGGUGAUAGUAUCACCGAGUCCCUUGGACUUUAGACUGAUCCUUGUAUCUAGUGCCCACUGCAAGUAAUUGUCUCCGGAGAGAUUAAGGGCUGCGUAGUCUCUGUUUGCUAUUUUCGACAUCUGAAUCACAUUAUCAUAUAAAUUUUAGGUUCAUAAUGUGAUCAGGUGGCCGCAUGAUAAUAAGCAAGCUUGGCCACAACACGUCUUACGCAUUUAUGAUAUUCAAAACAAUACUAAUCGACCAUGGUGCUAUCAAUCAUGAGCCACACGGCUAUAUAGGUUUACUAAUGCAGUCAACCUAAAUUCGUGUGAUCUAUAUGCUGGUCGAUCUUGUUACAAUCAGUUAUGAAUGCAAUACCAUGUUCGGAUUUAUGUAAAGCAAUCAAACUUAUUCUUACUUUAUAAUACCUAGGGUUUUCAAUCUUUUAAAUUCUAUCAACCUUAUGUUUAAGGUUUCUAGGCCUUAAGUAUUUGUAUACUUAGCUAAAUUAUUUCAAACAAUCCAACAAUCCUAAACCUCAAAUCAAGCAAGAAAUCAAACAAGCAAGAUCAAUCUUAAAAUCGGAUUCUAGCUUCUUUAGGGUUUAGGGUUUUCGAUUCCUUUAUUAGGGUCUGUCAUGUUUCAGAUUUAAUCAAUCAACAUACAAUCAUAUUCUAGUUGGAAUCGUAUUCUUUCUAGUUUUAAGACUUGUCGAUUUUAAUCUUGUGGUUUCUUUUAGGGUUUCAUUGAGAAUAUAGUUUCCAUAAUGAUGGAUUAGGGUUUAUGUUCUUUAUCUAGGUUCUCAGAUUAUGUUUAUACCUUUGUUUCGUAGGGGAUUUAAAACCGGACCACCUGAGAAUGGAUAAAACAUCGAGCUGAGAAGAAUGGACGCUUGCUGCCUCCUAUCGGGUCGCGGAUGGAACGAUCGCGGGCUGGAGGCGUCUCGGCUGCGAGCUGCGCGGAGAUCGGGUCGUCUCGGGUCGAUCGCGUCACGGGUUUGAUCACGAGCUGGGCGGUUCUUCUGAGCUGAGAACGUGAUCUGAGAACGUCUAGGUUUCAAGAGGAAUCAAUUGAGUUCUUGAUUGAACUAAGAACGAGAUUAGAGUUUUAGUUUUGAGUCGCCGGUUAUAGGCUUUUAGGUUUCGAUUUAGGUCUCAGGAAUUUAGAGGCUAUCGUGCUGAUAACGUGUUGUGAACAAUAGGGGAAAUCGUAUGUUCUCAUUACUCAAUCAAAGUGUUCCCUUAUAUAGGGAUUACAAGGAAUAGAUAAAUGGAAAGAGUACAAAUCAUUAUCCUAAAGGAAAUAGGAAAUCUACUUAAAGAUAAACUUGAAGAGAAAAGGAAAUCAUCAUAUACUAUAGACGGUCUAAUCUUUAGCCGCCUCUCUCUCCUUCUUGGACGCGGUCUUGGACAUUGGGCCUGGACGCGGUCCGUUCUUCCUUGAUAUGGUUACUAGCAAUCCACAUUGUUCAUAACAAUAAACACUCCAAUGGAUUAUUUUUGGCUAGUUAUUAAAUAUCCGAGUACUACAAUCUAAAUCUACAUGUUUUCGUAUGAAAUAUGUUGAGUAUGGAUCAUAUCCUACCACAAGGCCCACAGAAUAGCUAGCCUGGCCACAAUCAGAGGAAAGAGACUCGGUUUGCCAGUUUAUAGACCGUCUCGAGACUGCUUUUAGUCGAUCGAACGAGCGACCGAAAGUAGUCGACUCGACGGCUCGACGCAGAGGCCCGAUAGCUCGGCCCAACGAAUGGAAAUCCCAUUGAAUGAGGGCGAAUUAGGUCAUCGACUAGACGUCUACAUAAGGAGAGGUAGAAGCAGCGAAAAGAGAAUUUGAAAUCGCCUACACAUACUUUCGGCGGCUAGAACUAAAGUUUCAUUUUUCUUUCUCGCCGACUUGUAUUUCCCGGCGAACUAACUUUCAUCGAUUUGCUUUCUACCGCAUAUUUCCUUAUUUGUAAACCGACUAAACAUUCUUUGAUCUAAUAAACGUCUUUGUUUUGAUCCACCGACGAGUUCUCGUCUCUUUUACUUGUUUCCGACAAUUCUCGGUUCAAACGGAAUAUAAACUACCAAAUUUACAAGGUGGCUUGUUUGAUAAUAUGCUUGAUCCGCCACCUUUUGAUGAGUCAAUUUACCUUUAAUUCCUUCAAAUUCGAUCUGACAAAUCAACAAAUACUUUGAUUUGAUGUUUCAUGAUUAAAGUAUGUAAUAUCAAAUAAUAUAUGCAAAGUAAAAUCUAACUAAUAUUCACAAACUCAAUUUGAAAAAAAAAUUCAAAAUAUAAUAUCAAUGGCGUCUUUAAAUAUCUACAACUUAAGCAUAUUAACAUAAACUUGAUUAACAAAAAUUAUUUUAUUCUGAAUAAAUAUAAAAUUGGCACCCGUAAUCUUGUAUCCCAUCAACAAUACGUUUUAUACAAAAUCUAAUUCAAUCCAUUUGAGAGUACCCUAUAUAAUACCAUACAGUAAAUGUUUUAUAAGUGUUAAAAUUAUGAUAUUUUAUUAUUAUAAUAAUUUAAAUAUAUUUAUAUAUUUAAAAUAUUUUUAUAUUAAAUAUUAAAGUAUUUUUAUUGUAUUAUAUAUUUAUUAAAUUUGAUAGAUGUAUUUUAAUCUCUUUCUUAUUAUUUUUCAUUUUUAUGUAUAAAACAAUUUAGAAUGUAAAUGUGUUUUCAAUGUACUUUUACAAAAUAACACUAAACUAUUAUAAUAAAAAUAAAAAUAAAACAAACAUUAUUUUAAAUUCUUUAUAAAAAUUUAUGUAAGAUUUGUAGAUGGUAUUUUUGGUUACCAGCAUAAAAAGACUCGGUUAAGACUUUGUUAACUAAAUAUAGGAUUCAAUGUCUAUGAAAACGAAGUAGGUUGGUUGACAUCUAACUCCACGUGCAAGACUGUAUGACUUUGUGUUUUGAGUCUUGGAUACAUGUGGGAUCUCGAAAGUUCUCUGAUUCAUUGAAAUUUUCUCUGAUUCGUUGAAUGGUUGGGUUCCAUUCUACUCUAAUGAGAUUUGGCUUCCUUCACAAUGUUAAUUCUGUUUCCGCAAGUUACAAUGUAUCUUGGAUCUCUAUCAAUUCUAUUUAAAAUCUUAUCGUUUUGCUCUUUCCAGAUGUACUAAAGAAUCCAGGCGAAUUGUGCAUCUUUAGUGCGACGUAAUCCUCCAAAAUUAAUAAUCCAUGUUCGUGAAAACUGACUGCAAAAGAAGCUACAUGGGUGCGUGGGUAUCCUUGAUAACAUCUAGAUCUGAACAACGGAUGGACAUUCAAAAAAAAUAUGAUUUAUUGAUUCUUCUUCUGCUCUAUAUCUUUGACAAUGAAAUCACAUUCUAUUCCUCUUGAUUGAAGAUUCUUCCUGACCAGUAAACAACCUGAAUAAUUUGCCGAAAAAUACCUUACCCUUGGGGAACAUUUUAUUUUCCAUGCGUGUACCCGAAGGGUCUUAGUAUUAGGCCUGAAAACUAGUGGUUGUCUGGAUAGUAAGGACGGUCCAGAGAUUUUGGAGGCCAUAGGCGAUUUAGUUAAGAUUUCAAUUUAAAAAAAAAAAAUUGAAGGCCUUUUCUAUAAAUUUGGAGGCAUAUGUCUAUGUAAUAUUUUUCAAAAUAGUUGGGGACUCUAGGCGAAUUUUCAUCCGGUUUUUCCUAAGACCAGCCUUGCUAGAUAGAGAUGUUCCAAUUCACAUUCAGUUUUAACCGUAUAUAUUCUAGACUGUGUAAAAUAACAUAUUUAUCUGUCCACCGUAGAACAUUGACUUAACGAGAUACUUUCAAUAAGGAUUGCUGCUUCUGGUUCUAUCAGUGUCCUUUUUUUUUAUCAUCAACUUAUACAGAUUCAUACUGACUCUGUGAACCAAACUGGAAGAUCUUGAUCCUUAAACCAUCAAUGUCCUUAAAAUAUGAUAAUUUCACUUAAGAAAUAUAGGGUUGAUGAGCAAUAUAUAUGGUAAUUGUUGAUUAUAAUUUUAUUGAAAUCAUAUAUUUACCUAAUUUCUUCUAAAAGUGUUAUUUUUAUAUUAUUAAAUUAUAUUAUAUUUUAAAAUUUAAAAUAAAAUUGAACAAUUGAUUAAUUUAUAUUUUUAAUUUAUUGAAUGUUAUUUUAUUGAGUUUAUAUUGUAUGUUACUUAACUACACUUUUAGCUUUAUUGAACAUAAUGUUUAAGUCAUAGUGCACCCAAACAGAAUAUCACAACCAUAAGCCAUCGUAUGUUUAUACACUAUAAAAAUUUAUUAGAUUAGUUACUAGUUGUUUUUUUUUUUUUAUAUCCGUGGGGAUCAGGCGACCGAGGUCAACCGACUAAUCCCACGAGGUCCGCAGCAGCCACGUGAUUUCUACCCCAGAAAUUAGCAGGGUUAAGGUCCGGGUGGCCAACGCAAGUCGAACCUGCGGAGAGCGUAUUGGAUCUGGUCCUCAACUAACACUAGGCCAACUGUGUUGGUUAAUUAGUUACUAGUUGUUGCAAGGUAAUAUAUAUAGUUCACAAGAAUGUCACUCUCUCGUCUCUCCCUAUCUUCUCGAAAACGUUGACCAAAGUGCGAAGAAAGACUCCGGUCGUGGCUGCUCCUUACUUUUCUCUUGGGCGACUCUAGACUCAUGUGUGUUUUAUAUUUUUUUGUUUCUCUCAAUAAUUGUCUAAAUUUUGGUACUUACAUAAUCAUGAAUAAUAUAUUUUAAUAAUAUAUUAAAUUUUUACUCGCACUUUAAAAGCGCGGGAUAUAAUUUUUUAAUCAUUAGUUUAAUUUCAUUCUGCUUCAAUUUAAUGUGCGACAAAACAUUUAGAUUUCAAAGUUUGAUCUGUUCCGUUUAUAUUAAUCAAACUAUAUAUUUUAUGGUUUUAGAAUUAUGUUUUAAAUUUAUAAAAUAAUGUAUUUAAACAUUUUCUUACGAAUAUCAAUUUCAUAAUAAGUAUUAGUAUAAUUUUAAUUCUUAGUAAUUUAUGGUCCUUUUUAUCACACUUACACAUGUCUUCUAGCAAUAUAUCUUGUUGGAAAAAAACAUUUGACAAAAUUUGAUAAGGCACAUUAAAAAUUUAAUCAAAAACAAAUUUGGAUAUUAAUAAGAAGAUAUUAUAUAGCUACAUGUAUUUAUAUAUUGGAAUCGAAGAUAUAUAUACAAUUCAAAAUAUAUAAAUACAAUGGCCAUUCUAAAUACAAAGAAUUAAAUACAUAUUUUUUGACAAAAAAGAUACAUAUAUUUUUCUCACCCAACGAUUUUUUUGCAUUACACAUUCGUUAUGUGUUUAAUGGUAGACUUUACAUUCAUAAUUAUGUUAGUAAAAAAAUAGCCAAGGCCCACAUUACGUUUUAUUUGCAACCAUAAGCGACUUUUUGACUCUUUACUAAACAAUUUAGGUUUAGAAAAAAAAAAUUAAGUUUAUGCAUCCAUGUAUGUGUGUGUCUGCGGGCAAAUGUCUACUAGAAAUUGAUCCUCAGAUCCGUGUGGACGUUUUAACACAUUUCAGAGAGAUUAAAAAAAUUGUAUACACCCUCCGUAUACAAAUGUAUGAUAUUCUACCUUUUUAUUUUGUAUACAAAUCUAUGAUGUUUUAUGAUAUACUUAAUUCAUUUCUCUUUAAAAAGAAACAUAAAUUAAACACGAAAUUAUGAAUGACGAAACUUUAUUGAUAAAAUCAAAAAGUAAUAACCAAAAGAGUAUAUCUAUUGUUUUUUAAUAUGUGUGAAAAAACUUAAACAUCAUAUAUUUGUAUUCAGUGGGAGUAAUAAAUUAUAAUGUAUUUAUUUAAUGUAUGCUUAAUUAAAUGAAAAUGGUUUAAAUAAAAAUAUAUUGGCUAUUCAAAAUAAAUUUAAUGUAUAAUGUUGCAUGAAAAUGUAGAAUGACACCUUUUGUAAAACAUGAAAACAACAUAAAAUGACAUUCUUUGUGAAACAGAGAGAGUAUUUGUUUUGCAUAAUUAGUGUUAUAUAUUCUAUAUGUGUCACCUUAAAAUUAAUUUUAUAUUGGUUAUUUGAAUAUUUUUAGAUUUCUAAACAUUAUAAUCACCCGAAUUGAAUCGGAUAAUAUGAUUGCUUUGGUUAUUUUGUUAUUUAAGUUAUUUUUAGUUUGGAUACAAAAUACUCAAACUGAAUCAGACAAUAUAGUUACUUUUUGUACAAAUAUCCUUAACUCAUUUCAGACACAUAGGUUAUUUUUGAUAUUUUUAGGUUCCUACACAUCAGAAAUUCUAUAAUAUCAUAACGGAGACUAAUUUCAAACUCAAAAAUCUAAUAUCCGAAAAGACAACAUUUACCCAAUCGUAUACCCGAAUAUCCAUGUUUAACUAAUUUUAUAAACAAUUUUUUUUUAAAAAAACUCUUUCUUAACCGUUUUGAAUUAUUGUCACAAAUAGAAUAAUUUAUUAAAAUAUAUCGAAUUUUUAUGGUUAACAUGCAAAAUAAAAUAUGUCGAAUUAUUAUGAAAAAAUAAUUAAUGAAAUAGUUAAAACAGAAAAAAUGUAAAAUAUAAUAAAACACCUAAAAUAGAUAAAUUAUAUUUUGUAUUUCAGUAAUAAAUGAUGUUGGGUUAUUUAGAAAAUAUAAUAAAUGAACUAAUUAUAACUAGUGAAAAAGAAUGAAAAUAUGUAAAACCUUACCUAAAAAUAUGCAAGAAUUAAUUCUCUAGUAAAAAAUUUAUAGUGUGCGUUGUGUUUUGUGAUUAUGCAUCUACGUAGUUUAGGUGUAUACUUACUACGUUAUCUUCUUUAACAAAAAAAAAUAAAUGGAAACAACCAUCAAUACUCAAACAUACAUUUUCUAUCAUAUUUGAAUAUGGAUAGUGAUAAGCAGCAUUAUUACAAAAUACUAAAGAAUAAAUCUCGAUCUUGCAAUAAUAAACACCUUUUAUCGUAAAAGAUGAAGUAUGCAUUAUUCGACACAAGUCAGGCGGCCUAAUUGUUUUAUUGGGUUAACAAAGAUAUCUUCUUAUUUUAUUUAUAGAAUCUUGUUACUCCCAAAAAAGUUCCACAAACUAAAUUAACAAAUAUUCUAUAAAUAACAAGAAGUUACAUCAACCGUGCACCAGCUAUUUUUUUUUUUAAAUGUACCACCGUGGGUCCAUGGCCAUGUUUUUGCAAAGUGUUUUUUAACCUUGACAUUGGGGCGGAUGGCGGCUUCGGACCCAUGCACUUUUUCCAAAAAAAAAAUUUUAUAUUCACACACUUUUUAAACAUUAAGGUUUAAUCUCUACAUAAUCUUAAUACAUUCUUUCGAAAUAAUAGCUCUUUUAAUCAUUAAUCUUGCAUAUUAUUAUUAUUGGAUCUGAGAGCAAUUAUAAGAGUGCAGAUCGAUGUACUAACCUUUUUUAGAAUUAAAUUUAGGGGUUUUGAUACCAUGUUAAAUGUUAUAACUUUCCAAAUUAAAAUUAAUUGGCAGUAAAUGGACUAUAUUCCAAAUCUAUUAUAUAUUGUUUAUGUCUAAGUAAAACUCUCAAUGUGAUAAUUUAUAUUUACAUACUCGGCUUAUGCCCCUUGAUCUCUGUAUAAUCCAAAUAGUUUUGUCAGGGAUUAUUUAUAAGCCAACUUAUGUACAUGAAUUUCAUCGUUCUAUCAAUAAGCUAGUAUCAUAAGCCAACUUUUUUUUUAAUACUUUUUCUCUUGGGUUUUAACAUCAGUCAGUCAGUCACAAAGUUUUAUAAUGUUAAAACGUCUGCUAGAUUUAUACCGAUGACUAUUGACUGCAAUUCGAGGUUGACCACUAAACCCCCACAAAUAAUAGUCUUUAACUUAUGGACUAUCUAUACGAUUACGAAAUAACACGUAUAAAAGUUUCGUUUAGAUUGCCCUACACAUCACUAAUAAUAAAAAAUUAUACACUAUUGUCACUAUUCCUGUAGUGGUCAGAGUUUUAGUCAAUUGUUUUAUGCCAUAUGAGUGGUUGAAAACGUGGCUUACGACACAUCAAAUCAUACGAGUUAGAUUAAAUCACGAGGGGAUAUAUGUCAGAUUCAUGAACUUCGUCUAUUUCGUUUUUCUCAUUAUUCAUAAUUUUUUAGUUUAAAUAAACACUAAACGACGAGUUUGGAUCCGCGUAGUAGGUCUAGGAGGAAUCGGAUAUCCGGACUAUUUUAAAGUAUCCGGAUUUGGAUCUUUAUCCGACGGAUCCAUAAUUUUAUUAUCUUUAUCCGGAUCCGGAGUUCUCGGAUAUCCGGGCGUGUAAUGUCCUUCUAAAAAAUGUAAUAUACGGCGGAUAUCCGGAUUCGGAUCUAGAUACUUAAAAUAAAUAAAAAUAAUAAUAUUAAUAUAUAUAUAAAAUAUUAACAAUAAUUUAAAUAUAUAUAUAUAUAUAAUAUUUUUAAUUAUUUCUAUGUAUAAUAUUACAAAAUUUACAUAAAAUUUACAUAUACUAUUAUAAAAAUAAAAAUAUAUUAAAUAAAAUUAGUUUUUAUAUAUAGAUAUUACUAUUUUUAAAAUAGUUAUUAAUAAAACUUAUGGAUCCGGAUAUCCGGACUAAAAUAUCAAGAUAUCCGGAUCCGGAUCCGGCUUUGACGGAUCCAACAUUUUAGUAUCUGGAUCCGGAUUCUGCCCCUCCAGAUAUCCGGAUUUUUGGAUCGGAUCUGGAUCUAAUCUCGAUCAAAUCCGGAUCUCGGAUAAAAGUCUCAGGCCUACCGCGUAGGGCUAUAUUCGAACUCAGAUUGCUUACCAGUCCAAAGUUCUGUUGGAAUGAAAAACUUUGUUAAGAUGGAGAAAGUGUUUAAGUGUUUGAAGAGAAAGUGUUUUGUUUGAAGAAGAAAGCUUUUUAUAACUUAAGAAGAUUUUUUAUUACAUGGAAGUUUCUUACAAGCUUGGAUAAUUUCUUGGUGAUACAAAAUGAAGGGAAGUGGAGGUAUUUAUAGCCUCCAUAAUACAAAAAUAUCUCAAAUAUUUUAAUCCUAAAUCUAGAUAAUUCUAACAUAAUAUCUAAAUUUUUUUUAUUCUAAUUAUCUAGAUUUUUCUAUAUCUAGAUUUUUUUUAACUUAAGGAGAUGAAAGAUUAUUCUAGAAUUUGGGUUAAGGUUUUGGAUCAACACAUGACUAGCCCAAUAAUGCUUAACCCAAAUCAAGUUUACUUUUCAACACCCCCUCUUAAACUUGAUUUGGUUACUCUGAGUAAGCUCCUCAUCUUGACAAAGUCUUCCCGCUUGAGUGGCUUGGUGAAGAUAUCAGCUACUUGAUUGAUGUGCUUACUCCGAUCAUGGAAGACUGGAUUCUUUGCCAAUGUUAUUGCCGACUUGUUAUCCACAAAGAUCUUCGUUGGCUCCUCUUGUGGUAGGUUCAACUCCUUUAGUAAGUUCCGUAACCAAAUAGCAUGGCAAACACAUGAAGUAGCUGCCACAUACUCCGCUUCACAAGUAGAAAGAGUGACAAUUGGUUGCUUCUUUGACAUCCAUGUGAAAGCAGAUUCUCCAAUGAAAAACACAAAGACACUUGUGCUUUUCCAGUUGAUGUCACUCAAAUUACCCUAAAGAGUGAAUUUACUCUCUCAAAUAAGAAGUUCAAUUGUAGUAUCUAGGGAUCGAAUCCACAAGGAGCUCGGGAACCUAAUAAAUCUAAUGGGAUUUGUUAAGUUGGAUGGUUUAAUGAUUAAAAUGUAAAUUUGCAGUUUUGUUGAGGAAGUAAUUGCUCCAUUGAUUGGUUGAGGUUUUGGUGCUUAAAAGAAAAUAGCUAGACUUAAGGUUUUUAUUAAGGAAACAUGGAAUUAUAAUCCUACAGAUGCCUAAUGAGUUGUAUGCAUGAUAAUGUAGAGCUCAACUACUAAGCAACAAGUCAGUCAGCUCUCGCGUUUCUCGACUUGUCUAUUAACUAGAUCUAAUGACCCAAACAAAUGUGUUCGAUCAAUAGCAAGUGUCGAUCGAUUAUCCUAUAGGGAUAUCGAUCGAUACAUCUUUCACCCCGUCGAUCGAUUAUCCAAUAUGUAUAUCGAUCGACGCGCUUCUAGUUAAGCUUUAUGCAUUAAGCUCACUAGAUCAGCUCUCGCCUUACUCUUAGCAAGAAUCUUAGCUCAAUUAGAAUGGUUUCAGGAUGAGAAUGAAUCUAUCGCUUUUAUCUAACAAUCCUAGGGCAAGUUCUAGGUAGCUAAUCUAGAAUCAGACAUUAAUGACAAUCCUAAUGAUUAUUAUCAUAACUCAGCAAUCUAUAGUUGGGGCUAAUUCCUCAUAACUUAUUUAAACCCUAAAAUCUAACAAUGGAACUACUCAGACAUGGCCAAGCAAAAUUCAUAACAUCAAUUAAGUAAGAAAACUUCAUUAGAAUAGUAAAUAGAUAUCAAUGGAGUUCCAAUCACAAAUAUAACUUUGGAUCUUCUUUCCAAUCUAUCAAAAUCCUAAAAACCUUUUGCUGAUAAUAGUAAAACUAGAAACACAAGAAAACACAUUUUGGCUCUAACAUGGUGGCAAAGCUUAUAUAAUUAGGUUAAAACUCGUCAGGGGUAAUCUUGUAAAUUGGUGAAGACUUGGGAUUCAAGUCGGCUGUGACCAAACAGGUUCUGAUGUGAACAUCGAUAGAUAUUUGUUCCUCAAUAUCGAUUGAUGGUCGAGCUCGAUGGUCAUCUCGGAUGCUUACUCCAAAUAUCUCCAAAAUAUUCAAAAACCAUCACUUAUCUCCAAACCACUCAUGAUCUUAUAAAUAUAAUAAAUAAACUCUAUAAUAUAAUAAUUAGUAGUAAAAACACCUAUAAACCAUGGGUGAAAGUGGGUCAAAUCCAUGGUCUAUCAACUUCUCCAGACUUACCCUUUUGCUUGUCCUCAAGCAAAACAAACAUGCAGUCUUCUCUCUGAAAGAAGUUUGAAAACAACAGGGACUCACACAAUUUUAAACUUAGAAUCAUCACUUCUACAAUAUUGCAAUCCACAUCUAAGAAGUUCUAAUCACAAAAGCACAUUGUACCAUAUCCUAGCUUAGCAACCAAAUUCACCUAGCUAACAACUUAACAAAUCUUGUCUGACAUUCCCCUCUACCAACCUCAUUUCUUAGUAUAAAUAAAAGUGCAGGCUUUACCUUGGGAGUAUCGAUCACAUGAUGCAAGGAUUUUCAAACAAAUAUCUGGACCGCAGGUAAACAUUAGUUCAUAUCCUCUCUCUUUACUAAUUUUCUCUCUUAGUCAAAGUCUGCUUAUAUUUGCAAAUUGACUAAGAUUGAACAGGCUUCCAUGAAUCAAGCCUUAAUGGUGGUUGUCACCAAGUCCUAUUCACUUCUUUUUGACUUAUAUCCUAGGAUUAUUUGUGAAGCAAGCUUUAAUGGUUGUAGCCACCAAGUCUUGUUCUAAUCUUUUACCUAUAGAAUUCUUAUGAAGCAAGCCUUAUUGGUUGUAGCCACCAGGUCAUGUUCGAAUCCCUUCCUAAUAAAUCUCUAAUAGAUAUGUGUAUAUAUAUAUAUUUAUAAUAAUUUUUUUUUAAUAUCUAUAUUUCGAAAAUAGAGAGAGAGAAAGGGUGAUAAAUCUAUAUACACAAGGGUUCACCUUCCAUACGUGUUUGAAGAAUCCGAUCCCAUGUAUAACAAGCCCCAAGACAAGCAGUUAUGUCAAGUUUAGUGUUGGAGGUCAGCUUUGGUUCUUUUAAACAAUCUCAGCAAGUGUAACAUAGUUGACAAGUUGAUCCACUUUAGUAUCUUUAUUACUAUCUGCAAUCAGUAAGUUCUAGAAUGGUGAUAAAGAGUGGUUAGAUAACAAGCAAAAAUCUAAUAAGCUCAUUAUCCCUUUCUUGACUCAAUAAAAACUUUAUGUUUGAAAAUAUUUUUAAAAUUCAUGAAUAAACUAAUAUCAUUAAACCUCAACCCAGACUUAAACUACACUGUCCCCAGUGCAAACUCAGUCGGAGUUAUGGUGAUAAUUAAAUCACAAGUACGUAAUGUAACAAGUUAUAACGAUAUACCAGACCGGAAUGUAUGUCGACCGAUGUAAGGAUGUUGAUAUCAGUCGCGACAGGUGAUGCUAUGUCGAUCAAUGUCGAUAGUGUCUCGUCGGUCGACUCACGGCAAUCGUCUACUCGGAUCUUUUUUUUAUGACAUGCAAUAAUUAAAAACCAACAUAAAUAGUAGAUUAAUAAAAACCAAAUAAAUAUUACCUAACAGUGGGUUGUCUCUCACUCAGCGCUUUAUUAUAGUCAUUUAGCUAGAUUUUGGAGGUGAUUUGGGCUAGUUAUGUUGAAAGCUGGCACUUGUUGGGAAACAAGUCUCCAUCUCUUCUUUGCACUUGUUGAACCAUGUACCAGUGAAGUCUCGCAUUGCUUCAUCUACUCUGUGCCAUCAGUCCUCCAUUAUUGUAGUUGCAUCUUCUAUCUUCUGUAAUCUAUCUCCACGACUCUCAAGAUGGAACUGAUGUCUCAUAAAUGUGGCGUAUGUGUCAGCUAAGAUCUCCUCUCCAUGGUUGUGUGUGUCAAACAUGUCUGAUGUCACAUUUUGUACUAGCCUCCCUCGCUUUGUAGUGUCGUCAACCGAUGUCUGUCUGUGAGUGUCGGUCGAUUUAUUGUUGCAUCUGUCGAUCGAUGCUGAUGCUUCUGGUCGACGGGCAAUGUAACUCUGAAUCACCACUAAUUCCCCUUGAAUAGCUUCAAUCUGGGAAGUCAAAGCACUAAUGCUAAGAUCCAUUGGGAAAUAUAUGUCAUCACAUCUCCUAUCAAGCCUCUCUUAUGUAGUUUUCAGAGCCCUGUAGAUACCUUCUACUAACUAAUCUAUCUCUUCCCUAGUGUGAAAAUAUGGUUGAGACUUCAUCGUAUGUGAGUGUGGUGGAUUGUCGUCGACCGAUGCUGGUACGUGGUUGUCGAUCGAUGCAUGUAAGCGACUGUCGAUCGAUGCCUAUCGAUGUCUGUCGAUCGAUGUAGAGCGAGACACGUCGGUCGCACGCUGAAUUCUGGCUAUGUCUUGCCUCAUCUCUUCCAUGAAAGUAGUUAGCCAACUGAUACUAUCAUUCAAUGGAUAGUAAACUCCAUUAAGCUUCAUCUGGAAGUCUUCUUUGUUAUUCUCUUGUUCUCCACAGAUUCCAUAGAACAUCUCAUUGAUCUCGUCCUUAGUGUAGAUUUCUGGUACUAGCUUGGUUUGUGUGAAUGAGCUAGCAUGUUCUAGAAGACAUAUGUAGUUGUGCUCAUCUCUCGAAGCUCUUUCCAGCAGUCUUCUGAUAUCAUUGUUAUGAACACGAAUGGUGUGUCCAUCUACAUCUGGUGUAUCCCUGAUCAUCUCUGUUGAUUCCAUACUCAUCCUUCUCUUCCCAGUAGAAUUUCUAGUACCGAAAAUAUCAAGGCUCUUCUGCCAACUUCAGGACGUCUGUCGACCGAUGUUGGGACGUCAACGUCGAUCGAUGGCCGAGUAGGGUGUCAAGACUUCUGUUUGAAGCGUUUAUCUAUGUCACCAGCUGUGUUAUAAAACUCCUUUGUAACCUUCUGCUGGUGUUCUGUAAUAGUGCGUUGUUGCAUGUAGAGGUUGUCUGCCUCAUUGGCUGUCUGAAGGAUGUCUGCAAUAUCCUCUCGAGGUACGUGCAGUGUACGCUCAUCUAUUGCUUUCGCGUAGCCAUCUGGGUCCUUGAAAAUACCAAAUUUAUCUGGAGUUAGAUACUGGUUAUCAAAUUUAUCUUUUUCGCUUACGGUGGUUUUUGGUUUUGGACGGCUGUCGAUCGAUGUUGUGUGGUUGAUGUCGAGCAAUGUUGAAGGAUUGAUGUUGAUCGAUGGAGGAAUGGCUCUGUCGAUCGGAUGGCUGAAAUAUGUUCUUUCCCAAGCUGCUUCUGCUCGUUUCUGAUCUGUUUCAUCGCAUCUUUGCAUGUUGAGAAGUUCUUCGUAAGUGAAACCCUCAUGAAGUUCAUCAGCUCCUUAAUCACGGUAUGUUGUCUCUACUGCGUAGCUCUCAUGAUGGCGAUCAUCUGCCCAACUUCCAAUUGACUAAUCUGCGUCGACGUUAGUGUCGAUGGGUAGUAGGCUUCUUGACUGGAAUAGGGUUGUAGUGGACAUGAGGAUCUAUGAGCGUUAGGCACAACCGGUUGGUUUGCAAGUUGCAUACUGCUCCUACUGUUGACAAGAAGGCUCUUCCAAGUAAUAUAGAAGAGUUCCAGUUCAGCUUGAUGUCCAAGACAUGGAAAUCAACUGGAACUAGGGCAUUACCAAUCUGCACCUCUAGGUCUCUCACAAUUCCUCCUGAGUUUCUCUGAGAACAAUCCACAAAAGUGAAUAAUUCCUUGGAAGGCUCCACCUGCAAACCUAGAUGGUCUGCUGACUGAUGCUCCUGUGUCGCACAAGGCAUGUGAGAAUUCAAUACCCUUCACCGUGCAUGGUAUUGCAAAUUGCCCAUGAUCACUCUUCUUGUUGGGGUCAAAAAUGGUUACGACGAAGUUAACAUUCAAAACAUUCGAAGAAGAAAAUGAGAACUUUCUUCGAUAAAUACUUUUUUGAAAUAGAUACUUUCUUACAAAAAGAUUUGCGGAGAAAACACGAAACAUCAGACAAGAGCUCGAAAAAGGUCGCUACGCAACGACCGAACGCGUGUUCUACUCGGUCGCUACGUAGCGACCGNNNNNNNNNNNNNNNNNNNNNNNNNNNNNNNNNNNNNNNNNNNNNNNNNNNNNNNNNNNNNNNNNNNNNNNNNNNNNNNNNNNNNNNNNNNNNNNNNNUCCUUUAGAAGUACGCUCGGUCGUUACGUAGCGACCAAGCUCUUUUGAAACAUCGAUACGACAUUAGUCCAUGCGUUCUCGUCUACCCGUCGAUGCUAUCUCCCGAAGACCGUAGCAAACCCAUUUCACGAUUCCCUGCCAUUCUAAGUUAUCAAACUUUACCGUAAAAACCGCGGAAAGUUCGUUCUUUACCGAAAGAAGCCAUAAUAAACGUUUCGAGUCAGAAGACGGCCCAAAGGGACCUAAGACAUGACUCGAGGCCCAACUUAUGAUUUCUUAACCAACAGCCCGUAAGCCGCAUGAUGGUUUACGUUUGGUUCGCAAGGAAAGAUAAAUGUCAAGUUUCCGCAGAUAAAUACGAAAUUUUGAAGAUAAUUACGAAGAUCGGAAAAAAUGGAAUAUCUCUAUUUUUGUGCUACGACGGCUUAAGGGCAGAAGAGGAAAAGCGUAAACUGACCUAGGAGCUAGUAUAUAAGGAGUCCUAGGCGAGAGGCAUGGAGAGAAAUUUUUUGGAGAAAACUUAGCACUUAAAGCAAUUAGGCAACUUUCCGUUUUUGUUAUUUCGAGCUGCGACUCAAUUAGGUUUAGCCGUCUUAGGGUUGCUAGAACUAGGAAUCUCGCCGAUAGCUCUCGAGCCUAGGCUUAUAUCUUGUUGUAAACGCUCAUACGCAAACUCGGAAUAAGACUUCUCUUUGCUCUCUUUUUACGAUAUUUAUACUUUGUCGCUGUUAUCUCGUGUUCUGAUUGCUUAGCGUGUGGUAUUAACAGAUCUCCGGGACCUCUGGGAAUUUAGGGUUUUCCUAGUUUCCUAAUUUAAACGGAAAUCGACAGUGCGAAUUUCGGUUCCCACAGUUUGGCGCUAGAAGGAGGGGACUCUACGGAUCAAUCUAACUCGCAAAAGCCACUCAACGAUCAGGAACGAUAUGCAAGACUCGACGUGCGCAAACGUCAUCCCGUUCAAGGGAGAGCAAUGGUCGAUCGAGCCAAACCUCGAAACGAUCUCCUUGUUAUCGAGCUGACGAUCCGAGAUGUCGACGUCGCUAGGGUGCUAAUCGACACCGGAAAUUCGGCCGAUAUCAUCUUCAAGGAUACUCUCGAGAAAAUGGAGAACGAUCAAUCCGAAAUCGUGAAAUACCUUAGCCCACUACUGGGACUUUCGGGAGAAACAACCAUGGCCUAUGGGUCGAUUAAUCUCGCAGUCAAAGCCGGAACUGUGACAAGAGUCAUAGAGUUUCUAGUCGUUGACCGUCCCGCAUCUUACAAUGUUAUCAUGGGAACGCCAUGGUUGAACACCAUGCGUACCAUCCCAACAACGUACCAUCUUUGCCUCAAGUUUCCAACCCCUAACGGAGUCGAGGUAAUAUGGGGAAACCCAAGAGUAUCACAGGUGUGUUACGCCGCAAAACAAAAACGAAAAAGACCAGACCUCGAUACCACUCCUAGAAAAGCGGAGAAAAAGAUCUCCAACAAGGAUUCGCGAAGUCAAGAUUCAGCGGAACUCUUCUGGCAGUCUCGUAACAUCACGGCCCUAGAGGAAAAACGCGAACCAACUUGCGAACCUGUGGUCACAGUUUGUCUCGACAAAGCAUUUCCGGAAUGAUGCGUCGAGAUCGGAGCCAAUCUCCGCAAGCCUUUGAGGACAGAGACCAUCCCAACAACGUACCAUCUUUGCCUCAAGUUUCCAACCCCUAACGGAGUCGAGGUAAUAUGGGGAAACCCAAGAGUAUCACAGGUGUGUUACGCCGCAAAACAAAAACGAAAAAGACCAGACCUCGAUACCACUCCUAGAAAAGCGGAGAAAAAGAUCUCCAACAAGGAUUCGCGAAGUCAAGAUUCAGCGGAACUCUUCUGGCAGUCUCGUAACAUCACGGCCCUAGAGGAAAAACGCGAACCAACUUGCGAACCUGUGGUCACAGUUUGUCUCGACAAAGCAUUUCCGGAAUGAUGCGUCGAGAUCGGAGCCAAUCUCCGCAAGCCUUUGAGGACAGAGCUCAUAACCUGUCUAAAAAAGAACCUCAAUACUUUCGCAUGGGCUGCGGAAGAUAUGCCAGGGAGCGACAUUAACACAACGUGUCACGAAAAUAUCGAUCCGACCUUCAAACCCUUCAAACAAAAAAGGCGGAAGCUAGGACCCGAACGGGCUUCCGCGGUAAACGACGAGGUCAAAAAAAUUCUUAAAGUCGAGUCAAUAACGGAAGUGAGGUAUCCAGACUGGCUCGCUAACCACGUAGUAGUCGAAAAGAAAAACGGGAAAUGGCGAGUUUGCGUGGAUUUUAUCGACCUAGACAAGGCCUGUCCAAAAGAUAGUUUCCCUCUGCCACACAUCGAUCAAUUAGUAGAAGCAACGGCGGGUAACGAACUUCUGUCUUUUAUGGACGCCUUCUCAGGUUACAAUCAAAUUAUGAUAAACUCUGACGAUCGCGACAAGACUACGUUCAUUACGGAUCGCGGAACCUAUUGCUACAGGGUAAUGCCCUUCGGCCUCAAAAACGCUGGCGCAACUUACCAACGACUCGUGAACCGUAUGUUCUCUAAACAACUCGGUAAAACGAUGGAGGUUUAUUUCGACGACAUGCUCGUCAAAUCCCUCCAAGCAAAGGAUCACGUAUCACAUCUCGAGGAAUGUUUCGCGCAGUUAAAUUCCCAUAACAUGAAGCUCAACCCGACAAAAUGCAGGUUUGCCGUGGCAUCAGGGGAAUUCCUCGGCUACCUAGUCACAUUCCGCGGCAUCGAAGCUAAUCCAAAACAGAUCAACGCACUGAUCGAGAUGGCUUCACCGAAGAAUAAGCGGGAAGUCCAAAGGCUGACCGGUAGGGUCACGGCACUUAACCGAUUUAUUUCACGAUGAACGGACAAGUGCCUGCCUUUCUACGAUGUCUUACCGGGAAAUAAAAAAUUUGAAUGGUCGGAAGAAUGCGAAAACACUUUCCAACAGCUGAAGCGGUAUUUAGAUUCCCCUCCAGUCCUCGCAAAACCCGUGGAGGGGGAACCUUUGUUCUUGUACAUCGCUGUGUCGGCAACAGUUGUGAGCGGCGUCCUGAUCAAGGAAGAACGCGGCGAACAGAAACCUAUUUUCUAAAUAGGCAAAACCUUGCUGGAUGCCGAAUCUAGGUACCCGCUAAUGGAAAAAUUAGCAUGCGCGGUCGUAACAUCGGCCCGAAAACUAAGACCAUAUUUCCAAUCCCACAUGAUCGUCAUCCUCACGACUUUUCCCCUGCGGACGAGUCUGCAUAGCCCGAGUCAGUCGGGCUGAUUGGCCAAAUGGGCGGUCGAAUCGAGCGAGUACGAUAUCGAGUACCGACCGAGAACAAGCGCAAAAACACAAGUGCUUGCAGACUUCUUGGUCGAACUACCGACAUGGACCAUAAUUAACGAGGAACCAAAUUCCACCUGGCUCCUCCACGUCGACGGAUCCUCAUCCAAGCAGGGAUCAGGCAUCGGAAUUCGCCUCACAUCUCCGACGAGUGAGAUCUUAGAGCAAUCACUCAGGCUGGAAUUCCACGCCUCAAACAACGAGGCCGAAUACAAAGCACUCAUCGCAGGACUGCGUUUGGCUCACGACUUGAAGAUACGAAACAUCCACGCUUACUGCGACUCCUAGUUAGUGGCAAGUCAGUUCAGCGGAGAGUAUGAAGCCAGGGACGAACGGGUGGACGCGUAUCUCAAACUGGUCCAAACUCUAGCUCAAUAGUUUGUCUGUUUUGCCCUUAUGCGAAUUCCCCGUUCUGAAAACGUCCAGGCAGAUUCUCUCGCGGCCUUAGCAUCAAGUUCUGACCCAGGACUUAAAAGAGUAAUUUCGGUCGAGUUCAUCGAACAUCCGAGCAUCGGACCACCAAUCGUCAUCAACCUCAUAGGAGGUCAAGAUGACGAGGAAGAAGAAGUUACGAUACAACCGCAAUCGUAGCAAUCUGAUUACGGCUGCGAUACCCCAUGGCUGCAGACAAUUCGAGACUACAUUAUCAACGGACACCUGCCCACCGAGAAAUGGGCAGCCCGCAAAGUCCGAACACAGGCCGCGCGCUACGUAAUAGUGGACAGUGAAAUUUACAAAUGGAGAUUCUCCGGACCACUCAUGACGUGCCUGGAAGGGGAAAAAGCAAGAAAAGUGAUUGAAGAAGUACAUUCUGGGUCCUGCGGCAACCAUUCCGGUGGAAGAUCGCUGGCAUUGAAAAUCAAACGCCAUGGAUACUACUGGCCGACGAUGAUCGGAGAUUGCGAGAAGUUCGCACGAAAAUGCGAAAAAUGCCAGAGGCAUGCUCCAACCAUCCGACAACCAGCCGAAGUUCUCUACUCCAUCACAUUGCCCUACCCCUUUAUGCGCUGGGCCAUGGAUAUUGUCGGACCCCUUCAUAAUUCAAAGCAAAAGCGUUUCCUUUUAGUCCUCACCGAUUUCUUUUCAAAAUGGGUAGAGGCAGAUUCGUACGUGAGUAUAAAAGAUGUCCAAGUCAAAAGUUUCGUAUGGAGAAACAUCAUCUGUAGGCAUGGAGUUCCUUACGAGAUCGUAACCGAUAACGAAUCUCAGUUUAUCUCCACCCGGUUCGAGGCAUUCUGCGAGAGGUUGAAGAUACGACUUAACAAGUCGAUGCCCAGGUAUCCACAGUGUAACGGACAAGCUGAAACGAUCGAUAAAACCAUUCUCGACGGACUGAAGAAACGCUUAGAGGCCAAAAAAGGCAGGUGGGCCGACGAACUCGAGGGAGUCCUCUGGUCCCACCGUACCACCCCGAGGCGAGCAACGGGAGAAACCUCUUUCGCUCUGGUGUACGGAACGGAAUGCAUGAUUCCCGUAGAAGUAGAGUUCCCUGGUGUUCGAAGAAGAUUACUUCCCGAACGAGAGGAGCUCAAUAACGUCAUGCUCUUGGAUGAUCUUGAUCUCAUUAACGAGCGCCAAGAUCGAGCGCUCAUCUGAAUCCAAAAAUACCAACACGCAGCCGCAAAGUACUAUAAUUCCAACGUACGGAAUCGCAGAUUUAAUCAAGGAGAUCUGGUCCUUCGCAAAGUCUUCCAAAGCACCGCUGAACGAAACGCGGGAAAACUUGGAGUAAACUGGGAAGUAUCCUAUAAAAUCGAAAAAGUCGUCCGACCGGGCUCCUACGAAAUAGCCAACAUGCAAGGCAUAAAAAUUCCAAGGACCUGGAACGCGAUGCAUCUCAAAAAAUACUAUCACUAAACAAACCAACUCACAAUGACCGAACUACGAGACGGCUUGAUCUCCAUAAGGAGUACGUAGGCAGUUUGUCGAAAGGCGAAAGGCAAAUUCAGCUGUUCCCCCUCAUUAAAAAGGGAGGGGGAGAGUGGAUACGUAUACUCGUAUACUCUCAAAUUCGAAAACAUCCGACCAUGUCUUCGAUGUUUCCGACAUAUCUUAACCAAGCAAAUUAUUCUUUAUCCGCAAAACAUUUUCGAUAUUUGGAAAUAAAUUAGCCGUUAGGGAGAAGCAGCCUUUGGCAUCGCGAGACGUCGCAAGAGAUGCCUCGAGAGUUACUUCUUCCCAACGACGAAAACGGACACUCCGUAAAAAAAAUGAUGAACAUUUUAACACAUAUUUUGCGCAAAAACUCCAAACGACGGUAUCUGCCGCCAAGUCCGAUGCUGAUCACAUCAAACUCUCGAACGUCCUAAAUAGACAUAGCCAUCUCACGAAGAUGACUCUCGUACAUCCGACACAAGGAUAAUAGCACUAUAAAAGAAACCUGGAAUUUUGGUCCAGCACUUCCGGUUGGCUUAAAAAUUGUCUCCGGAGAGAUGCUCGAUUCAUAUUUAACAAGUCAUGUAUGCCGAGAACCUAUCACGGACUUUAAAUCGGUACGAAUCAGGUUAAAAUCACGACAGAUAAAUCGAUAGCCGGCUAGUCACCGCACAAAAUCUUAAAACCGAAAGUAAACCUAGGUCUUGCCAUAAACCCAGCGCACUGGUUUCUAACAUCUCCAGGCAUGAUAUCCAAAAGAUAUGAGAUCCCAAAACCACGCCUCUAUGUUUAUAUUCGACAUCUUCAGAUAUCCCGUGAAAUCUAUAUCUUGCGGAAAAACUCUCGAAACGGAUCUCGAACAAAACAUUUCACAUCGAAGAAGGAUAUGAGACGACAACUCAUCAUCCUCCUUUCACGCCAAACGUAAACUUAUGAAAAAUGAAACUUGAUCGUCUUGUCCUAAAAAGAAAGCCACAGAGCGGCAGGGAUUCAAAGCCACAUACGGCCAGUCCCGAAAUAUGAAAUAAGGCCAUUUAAGGCCGAAACAUCAAAUAUAAAAAAAAAAUCUCUUGCAAGAGAUCUAACCAAAGUCAUCCUCAGAACUCACGCUCCCUCUUCACCUGUCACUUCAUCCAAGCCUGGAGCCGCAUCACCUCCGCUUUCUCCAAGCGCCGGAUCUUUCCCCUCUGGGCCUUCUGAACACGUCGGAAGAAAGCACGCGGAUUUCAGGUCAGCUAGGAUGAGAUCGAAAUCUCCAUCCACGACUGCUAAAUCUCCCUUGCAGCCGGACAGUCGGGCCUCUUCGGCCUCUAAGGUUGGAGAAGUCUCACUCUGGAACGACUGAACCACGGCCACCCCGCCCUCAAUCGUCGCCAAGGCAAAAUCCCUGUUCCGGAUGCACUCGAGGGAGCCCAGAAAGGCAGAGAUCUUCGCCAAGCGAGCGUGAAACUCAGAACAAAGAGCGUCUGUGGCCUCUCGGAUCCCGCGGCUCGCUAAUGCUGCAUCGCCCUCGAUCUGACGCUGAAGCUGACGCACCUCCGAAGAUUUGGCCUUCCUGACUUUCUUCUCCUUAAGCAGUGAACUCGCCGUUUUCCCGAGGUCCCUCUCGAGCUCCCCUAUAGCGACCUCGAGUUUCGACACUUUCACGGAGUGAGAAUCCUUGACAGCCGUCAGCAUGGCCUCGGUUUCAGACCAUCUACCCUGCAGCUCCAACAACUCCCCGGCAAGACGACUGGUCUCAGAACCGCACUCGCUGAUCAUCCCAUCGAUCAACGACAUGAACUGCGAAACGAGAAGAAAGUUAGGGAUUUUUUGUCUUUUAGAAAAAUAUAUAACAAUCAAGAGAUUAAGUGAGCGACAAACCUUUCCGCGAAGCCCCGACGCUAUGCUCGAGCCUCCUUGCUGCGAAGAUUCCCCGUCACCGCCCUUGGUAAACUUCCUCUUCCGGCCCUUAGGCUGAGCAACCGGAACAACACUAGGAGCGCGCAGCGCUAGAACGAUCUCUUUCCUGGCCGGAGGAGGAGGCAUAGAGUCAGCAGCCCUCUCCUUAUCCUCGACGAGAAUCGGAGUCGUGGACGAUCCGGCAGGUAGAGCCGAAGCAUCCGGAAUGCCCGAGCCUGCGAGAGUUCCCGUGUCUCGCGGAGUUACGACCUCGGUCCCGUGACCCGGAGCAAUGGCCAGUGCAGAAGAGGAUGGGAACUCGGCGCCAGCUCGAACCUGUUCCUUCUCGGCUUGGCGACGAACUAGUCUCUCUCGAAAGGAGAGAUGGUCAGCAACGCAAGCCGGCGCUUCGACCGGAGAAGUCGGAAUCGGAGCCGGAGAGGUGGCAUCGCCCAUCUCAACAUCGGAACUUCUCUUGUCACCGUGGGAAGAAGACAUGUUGAAGGCAAAAGAUUUGGAGCUAGAGAGGUUUUGGAGGUUUGAAGAAGGGAAGGUGUGAAGCAAAUGAAUGACAAGAGCUCACUACUUAUAGAAGUAUGGGCUCGGAAUUUUAUAUUUUUAAUAUAUACUUUCUCAAGAAUUUUCUUCCGCGGAGUUUAAAGUAAACUUCGUCCAAUACGCCUAACUUUCAAACCGCGCGCUAGAGUCUUGACUCUAACGAGCUGGGAGGCUAACUGUUGGGGUCAAAAAUGGUUAAGCCGAAGUUAACAUUCAAAAUGUCCGAAGAAGAAAAUGAGAACUUUCUUCGACAAAUACUUUUUCGAAAUAGAUACUUUCUUACGAAAAGCUUUGCGGAGGAAACACGAGACAUCGGACAAGAGCUCGAAAAGGGUCGCUACGCAGCGACCGAACGCGUGUUCCGCUAACGCAACGACCGAACGCGUGUUCCGCUCGGUCGCUACGUAGUGACUGAGCAGAACGGAUGCUCGGUCGCGACGUAGCGACCAAGCGUACGUCCGCUCGGUCGCUACGUUGCGACCAAGCUCUUCAGAAACGUCGAUACGACAUUAGUCCAUGCAUUCUCGUCUACUCUUCGAUGAUAUCUCCCGAAGACCGUAGCGAACCCAUUUCACGUUCCCCUGAGCAGAACGGAUGCUCGGUCGCGACGGGAAGCACCUGAUUUGAAAGUGGGAUAACCUUUUCUAGCCAACUCCUAUGAAAAUUAUUCAACUUCCUGGUGAUUCUCCACCACUUUAUGUAUCCAAAUCAAGCUUCUCACAAAGUGAUUCAUCCUGAUUUGAUUGGAACGACGAAGAAGCUGUGCUAUUCCCAAACUGGGAAACUGGAAUCACCUGAUUUGAAAGUGGGAUAACUUCUUCUAGCCAACUCCUAUGAGAUUUAUUCAACUUCCUGGUGAUUCUCCACCACUU
This 46764-nucleotide long non-coding RNA is filed under the name Brassica napus (rape). RNAcentral describes it as "long non-coding RNA (BNAP_LNC004944)". The stretch from base 5813 to 5962 matches the Rfam family "Small nucleolar RNA snoR136". Lineage: Eukaryota; Viridiplantae; Streptophyta; Magnoliopsida; Brassicales; Brassicaceae. The record is from RNAcentral.